CUGCUGCUGCUGGAGAUCCAACUGUUGCGGGUGAUGUCAGCGGAUUGGAUGAAAAUUCUAGGGAUGUUAAUGGGUUUGCUGGACGAGGUAGAGGUCGGGGUGAUGCUGUGGGGAAAACUUGGCAACAGGAUGGAGACUGGAUGUGUCCGAAUACAAGGUCUGUGAUGUGAUAUUGGUGAGCAGCUCCUUCUUGAUCUUUUUUAUGUAGGCUUGUUUUAUUCUUCUGUCUGUACUUUGAUUGUUCUGCAAUUAGCUGCUUAUUGUUUAUUGUGGUAGCAGUUGUUCAAAUGUAAAUUUUGCAUUUCGUGGCGUGUGCAAUCGUUGUGGAACUGCUCGACCUGUUGGUGGACCGGGUGCUGGGGGAAGAGCUGGUGGUCGUGGGAGAGGUCGUGCUGGCAAUGAAUCGGGGAGCCAGGGCCGGCAAAUUGGUGCUGCUACUGGGCUUUUUGGUCCAAAUGAUUGGUCUUGUCCCAUGUAAGCCUCUUUCUGUGAAGUUGUAUCGUGUUGAUGUCAUACAGCAAAUAUACUGUUUCUCUGUAACCUUUCAUUUGGUAAGAAGUUUUCUUGGGUUCGUUUUCGUAUAGUUUCUGUGAUACGUUAAUGCUACUUAAUGUGAUGACGUUAUGCUACUUAUCUCAUAAUUUAAGCAACUACCUCUAUCUGGCAAAAUAGAACAGAUUAAUGGGUGCAUAUUAAUGAGUGCAUAUUUUCUGUAGACAUCUGUAUUGACUGGAAGGAGAUACCGAAAGGCUGUUCUUGUAAAACUCGGUUUGUUAAAAAUUUAUAGAGGUUGAGCCCCAAUAGUGCUAUCCUAAUUCUAGCUCACUAUAUUGUUAAUGAUAGCAGACAUAUUGAAAUUGGCCCAAAGGGUUCAGGUCCUUGUGGGUUUAUGUGAUGAAUUCCUUGAUAAUUCUGAAUUUAUUAAUCAAUGUUGGUGACAUUGUUCAUGGCUUAACAUAUAUCAACACAGAUAGGAAUUUUUUUUUUUUUGAAAGGUGAGUAUGGAAAUUUGCUUGUGCAGUUGUGUGUUUGUGUGAUAUUUAUCUUUGGAGGAAUGUCUAUCAUACUUUUGCAUCUAUUAUCUUGUAUGUGGCGUGUGUAUGUUAAUUACAAUGUUUUAUGAUCACUGGAUUAUGUUAUGCUGCUAGGACAAUUUGGUCUCUUGUUUUAUGCGUAACAUUUUUCUACCUUGGUUAAACAGUAGCUUGGAGCAGAUGCUUCAAUUAUCAUAUAUAUGUAAGCUCCCUAUUUUUUAUGGUUUUUCUUCUUUAAUUUCUUUUUCCCAGGUGUGGUAAUAUCAACUGGGCAAAGCGAACAAAGUGCAAUAUCUGCAACACGAAUAAACCUGGUCACAAUGAGGGUGGUGUUAGGUAUUAGAUGAUAAUCAACUUCUUGUUUUAUUUUAUAUUUGUUUUCAUGCUUAUGUUUUUUAGCUAUCAACAGUGGAAACUUUGAUCAGUCAUCUAAAAUUAAUUCACUGUUGUGCAUUAUUUCGCAAGUUGGUGGUUUAAGAUAUAACAUGAUAGUCAACUUUCUGUUUGUUUUACCAUUUCUGUCUAUAACAUAUAUUUACUUGAUAAUAAAAAUAAGCUCUUUAGCUGUCACUUAUAGAAUUCAUAUAAUUGCAAGUAUGUCCAAUUUUCCAUACUUCGUAGGUCUACACCUAACCCUCUCCUUUUUUGAAGAGAGAAGGGGUGGGGGGUGGUUCUUGGAUUGAGUUAAAUGUGAGGUAAGAGCUAGAUAUGUUUGCUCAUUUUGAUCUUUGGUUGUUGUUGCAAGAAAACCAUGAGCCUCGUUUAAUUGCUUGUGGGCUGUGGCAAUAUGUUGACUCUGUCAAAGUGGGGAGAUACUUUAACUUGCAGUUUGCCCCUAAUAUGUUGCAACAAAGUAUAUUCUUGAGACUUUUUAAGUAGAUUAGGACAUGAACUCGCUGUCAUGGAAUGUACAUUUGGCAACAGACUAAGGACUCUCCCAAUAAAGUUCAUUUUUGUGCUCAUUUGAUCAUAAGAAAAAUGGGAAAACAUGAUAAAUAUAGCCUUUAACAUGUUUGUUCUUGUACUGCCUCCAUUUAAUCUCUUUAAUAAUUCUCAAGUUGUUAGUUAUGAUUGCUGUGCUGUGGAGCUUUUGUUAAUGCAAUAUAUGAAGUGGUACAUGGUCAAUUGUGAAAGGUUAUUGGGUAUCAUGAGAUCAACAUAAACAGCAAGAUGAUUGUUUUUGUGCCAUCACAUGCCAAUUGCAUACGGGAAGUGUGUUCAACAUCAAAAUGGAUGGAAAUUUUGCAAAUUUUGAAUCUAAGAAUUAUAUCAUUCAUUGAAUACAGAAAAUGUUGGAUGAAAUGUUAGAUGUCCUUUCAGACAUCAUCUCAUCACAUUUUAGGACUUAAUGCAGUAUCAUUUUAUGGAUACAUUUCCCUGGGAAGAAGCUAUAACUUAUGCAUUUGUGUUAUUUGUUUUAUUGCUGUACUCUUUAGAUGACAUAAUCUAAUUCAUAACUACAGUAAUUUUUUUUUCCCAUACAUGUUUAUAUUUUUCUUUUGAUUUUAUUUGGUUCUAUCUGUGAAAGGAAACUGGCUUAUUAAUUAGUGUUUCUUUCUGGCCUGUUGUUUGGACAUUAAUAUUUUGUUGAACAAUCUUUGAACAUCAUAUUGCUAUUAUAUUGCUAAAAUAUGUGUAUAUCCUUGCUGAACAGAGGAGGGCGUGGUGGUGGUUACAAAGAACUUGAUGAAGAAGAACUAGAGGAAACGAAGCGACGGAGGCGGGAGGCUGAAGCAGUAAUGAUUACUCGAACUAGAAUUACUUGAAGUUACAUAACUUAUUCUGUAUUCUUCAUAGUCUUUAUGUAUAUUUCAGGAUGAUGGUGAGUUGUAUGAUGAGUUUGGAAAUCUCAAGAAAAAGUUUCGUGCUAAGACGCAACAAGUUGAAGCAGCGCAGGUGCUUCCAGGUGCUGGACGUGCAGGAUGGGAGGUUGAGGAACUAGGUAUGGCGAGCGUUCUCUUAGAAAAACUUUUUUGUACUGUCUAUAUUUUCAGUCUUGGUGUCUUUUGGAAAGAGCAUCCUCUAGAAUUUACAAUCUGGAGUUGGUUGAAUGGGUCUGGGGUUUGUCAUUUUGAACCAUUUCUAUUAGUGCAUGUCUUUUUGUUUGGCUCUAGUCAAGGGGACACUUGCUUUGUCUGCUCUGUCUCUCCAGUUGGUGGCUCGGUGCCAGAGAAAGAGCUACAGUAAAAUAGCAGUGAUGUCAUUUGUUUUAAAUUCUAAUAGUAAACCAUUUGGGAUUCAGUUAUAUAAGAAUUCAAUCCUGUAGAACUUUUGUUUAUGGUAUGAAACUCCAGUAAAGAGGAUUCUAUCAUUAUGUCGAUAGGCUUCUUGAGCGAUCUAGGUGUUGCCCUUUGGAGUGAAGUAUGAUGUUAUUGGCACCUGGUGAUUCAGCAGUUGAAUUAUGGAGAGUCAAGAAGGUUCAAUACCCAUGUUGUGUGGUGUUUUUAGAAGAAUUCAAGGAUGAAGAGCUACUGGUUUAUCUUUGCAGUUAAUUACUGUGCUGCAAUGUAUCUUUAUCCGCUUUGAAGAAGGGAGAUGGAGAUAAUAAAUCCGCAGAUAUUGCAAGUAAAUAUUUAGAAUUCAACAUGUGGGAUGGAAAUAAUGGAAUGCUACUUGGCAAGUGUAGUAGUAAUAUUCUUGUUAUUAUUAACCACAAUUUUGCUCAUCUUCAUUUUUUGGGAGUAAUUCACCAUGAAAUUUGACAGCAUUAUAAAUGGUCAUUAUUGUUGUGUUUUUGAUGAAUUGGAUUGGCACUCAAGUAUAUUGUUUCUUUACCAAGGAUUAAGAAGAAUCACGAUGCAGGUGUGACUGAUCGUGAUGGGAGAGAGCGAAGCAGAGACAGAGGAAGGGAACGAGAAGACAGGGGAAGCAACAAGAAGAGGGGCGGUGAUGAUAGGGAGAGGCACCGAAGUCGAAGCAGAGAGAGGGACAGGGGUAGAGAUAGAGACCGGGAGUAUGAUUAUGAACGAGCCAGAGAAUAUGAGAGAGGUAGGGACCGAAUGAGGUAUCGCCGUUAAUGUUGGAUGGGUGUCUUCUGUAAUAUUUGUCCUCGGGUAGCAGUGGUUAAUUUGACCUAUUUGCUGGGGGAUAUGGCAUUUUAUUGUAAUCAAAUUUUCUGAAAUUCUAGUACUUAUUUUGGUUCGGUAAGUUCUUAAUAUUGUGUGAUCCGCAUUGUAAUCUGAUUUUCGUUUGUACUCAGAGCAUAGAUUCUGUUCAAGCAUUUUAAACUUUCUUGGUUGCCGUCUCCAUGGGAACUGAGUUAUUGAGAAAUCUGAUUUGAGUAGUAGAUGUGUUGCCCUAUAUAAGUCAGUCAGUCAGUCAGUCAGUCAGUCAUCUAACAUCUUGUGUACCUUCAAACAUACGAUGGAUAAUUUGAAGUGAAGUAAUGCGUUGCCUUCACUUUCCACGUGAUACCCUGAGAAAUGAUAUUUGUAAUUUACUUAUGGAAUGGUUGAUGAAUUAUUUGACAAGUGGCUGUUCUUUAACAAAAGAAUCGACAAUACUUGCCUGCCAAAAUAUCUGAUUACGUGAUCAUUUCUUAUUGGUGGUCCCUCAAAGUUGUUUCCCCGACCUGGAUCAUUAAUUCGUUAUUGUUAUUCGGAGUUGAAUUUUUUUUUUUAAAUAAAAAAAGAAGAAUCGUUAAGAAUUUAAGAAAUUAAAAAAAAAAAAAAAAAAGGAUGGUGAAUUGGUAACUCGGGAGCAUUUCGCGGACAAGUUCUGUGAAAAACUGGUACGUUCUUAACGAACUUAUAUGUUGUAGAAAUUGGCAAUUAUUAUAUAUUAUUAAUCAUGAGUUAAUUUCGUUAACGAAAUUCGGAAGUGUGAAUUUAUGUAAAAUUAUUUGUGGAAAAAAAAAAUGGUUGGAGUCGGCGGUAGUGGCAGUGGAGCUGGGGAUGGAAGCAGGCGGCGUUUACCGUCAUGGAUGGCGGGCGUAAACGUAAAUAAAUCCGACGGCGAAGGACUGGAUCGUAAUUCCAACUCCAAUUCCAAUUCCAAGGAGCCUGCAGAUAUUGUUGAGAAGUCUGAAACAACGAGAAGGCCCCGACGAAGGAAAUCAACUCAACGACACCAAGAAGAAGAAGAAGAAGAGGGCGGAGAGAUUAACGUCACUCGAACUCAGAAGAAAAGAAAAGUUCGGGAACCGGCCCCACCGAAGAAGGGAAAAAAACUCAAGCAAAUAACUCAUACGAGGGUCGAUCAAAUUGAAGACGAUAAUAAUGCUACUGGAGAAGAAGAAGAAGAAGAGCAAGAGCAACUCACUCUUACUGUGGAAGAUUUACUAAGCAUUGCUAAAGAGGUGACUUGUGCUUUCUCAUGCUCCAAAUUUUUAUAUUAGACGUUGCUCAACAUAUGUUGAGCCACGUUUUAAACCUGUCGCUAUUUGGUUAAUCUAUAGUUUCAACAAUAUUCACGCUCCGCUGAUCCAGUAGAGGAUUCAAAUUCUCAUGCAUUGUAGUGUGUACGCGUCUGCAAUUGCUAAACAUAAAGUGCGCGAAGUUGCUAAUCAGAUCAUUCAUGAUGCUAAGAUAUCUUAUGUUUCAAUUAUGGUGUUUUUGUGCAGUAUGUCCAAGCUGAUAGGGAAAGAGGUGAAGUGCAAUCAUCAUCAAGUAGAGAAUUGGAAUCGGAGAAAGAGCUUCUGGCAUCGACUUCUCUUGAGAAUGGUGAUAUCCUGAACCAGAAAUUAAGUACUGAUUCGGCAAUGGGUUCAAUGAGUGAACAAAGUUUGGUCUCCGUCAGCAGAACAGGGGAUCCGGCACAGGACAUGCUUGAUUUAUUUUUUGGUCCUUUGUUGAAGAAACCUGUAGAGGACCAAAACAGGACUAAAUUUACUGCUAACGAUAUUUUUGAUAUUGAGUUUAGAAAGCUGAGUGAGACCCAGAAGAAUGAUGCUGGACAAGAACACACUGUAGCAGCCCCGGUGAUGAAAAAGAAGAGCAGUCUCAAAGACAAGGUAGCAGUGUUACUUGACUGAAUAGGAUUUUGCGAAUUGAAUUGGGACACACUCUUGUACUUGCCACUAAUUAUCUUCACCUUUCUCUUUUUGUCUGAAACAAUACAGCAUAUACAUAGAACAGAAUGGAACAGUGAUUUCUGUAAAUGAAGCAUUACUUGUUUUUUUUGUGUUACUCGCUGUUCAUCAUAAUAGCUUUAGCUGGCUUUUUUUUUUUUUUUUGGGCCCCCGGCUUAAGGUGAAUUUUGUUUAGUAUUGUCACGUUUUCUCAUUUUCAGUAUGCCAAAAGGUGUGGAAUUAUUUAGAAAUUGUAGCCCUUUAUGUUCAUAGAGCAGACGUGUAGUUGAUCUGUACAAGUGGUUUGAAAUAAAUUAUUGUUGCACCUUUGGAAUGUCCUUCUGAAUGCUUCUCUUUUAAUUAAUACUAUGUACAUACUCAUACUUAAAUAUCAAUUGCUGGAAGUGUUUAAUAAUGUAAAUAUGCAAACUUGAACUUCUAUAGCCGUGUCCCAGGUGUUCUCAUAUCGGAUACCUGGCAUCCAGUGAAGACCAGGCAAUUUUGUCUCUUUAACCAAUAGGUUUAAGAGUUAUACUGCCUUUUAAUGGCUGUAUCUUUCUCGUCCUAGCAUUGCCUCAAAAUUUACUCUAGUUUUGGAAUUAUCCUUUGAACCUCCAAUGAUUUUUUAUUGUUAGCAACCUUAAAAUCUAAGAAAAUAUAGCAUUCUGAGAACACCAGAUGUUGUAUUUCCCCAUGUCCUCGGUUUCAGUGUAUUUUAGUUCUUGUUGGAUGUUGCUUUAAUUCCAAAUAUUAUUAAUGGAACCAUGUCGCCUAAUGGUUUACCAUGCUUCGUAAUACAGUUCUGAGCUGGAAAAGCAUUUUUUCAGGGUGAUUAUAUGUGAUAUCAUAGCAGAAGAGAAGAGCGAUGACUAGGAAGUAGUGAAAAAUGAUAAGAUUAAACAUUUGAAGUUUCAAAUUUAAACUGAAUUUUAAAUUUGAUGUUCGAUAAUGCAGAAUACUAGAAUGCAUGGAACUAUUAGAUUUUAAGGCUCUCUUAUCUGAGCGUGUCUUUCUCUUCCAAAUAUUGAUCUCUGCAGAUAUGGAUAAUUAAUAGUUUUAAGUCGCUUCUUUACCUGUUUGUUUGGGCUUUGGAGAUGUAGCUUGAAUGGACAAGAGAACUAAGGACCCAUUCUAUAUGCUUGAUGUUUCAUUUAUGGUUAUAUGUUUUCAUCAAAUGUUUUCUCUAGUUUUCCCCGCCUACUAGUUGAAAGGAUUUAUUAUUAUUUAUAAGUAUUCCAUGGUCAAGGUGACCAAAAUUCACAUACCUACCAGGAAAGAAGGAGAAAAUAAAACAAAAUGCAAUAGAUCCUUCGUACAUUGAUCCAAUAUAAAUAAUAUUGUCAACUGUUAUAUUAUUUUCUUUCCCUUUGUCUUGGUGUGUAUAAAGUACAAAUGGUUUGAUUGGUGUUUACAAUUGAUAAUAAGGGGGCAUAGUAUUGAACAAACCGCGUGCUUUUAAAAUUUUUAAUUUAAAAAUAAUAAUUAUAAUAAAAUCAAUUGUAUGUAUGCAUAGAAUGUGUUGUUUGACUCCUUAAAGCUGAGCGUUCUUCACUUGUAAAAAUCUUGGAAGGCCAACUUUAUGCCCAGUUUGCUUUACAUCUUCUUGAACUUGUUUUCUGUAUUCUUCAAAAGUGAAUUUUCUGUAGGUAGAAGGUUCUGUGCAACUCCCUAUUAAAGAGUCAUAUGAAGGGCAUAGGAAGUAAGCUACUGAGUAUCUUUCCAUCUUCCCAUUAGCCAUCACUUUGUGCUCUACGCUUUUGUAAACAUCAUUGCUCCAGGCCUGCAUUCGUUUUACUGAUUAUCAGGAGGAAAAAAACACAGUGCAUAAUAGGACUCUUUUUUGGUUGGAAAGAAUAAAAAAGAAAUGGUGAUAUUUGUUAUGCUUGAUGUUUGUUUACCUGGAAGAGAUCGCCAAUGUUGACAAUAAGAGCAUCUGGAUUAGGUCUAACGGCCACCCAUUUGGAAUCCUUCAUGAGUUGAAGUCCACCGACUUGAUCUUGAUAUAGGAUUGUAAGAAAAUCACUAUCAGUGUGUGGUACUAAUCCGAACAUUUCUGCAGAUAUUGGACAGACUGGAUAGCGAUUCAAGCGAAGAAAGCAAGUGCUUUCAUUGCAGCUAUCAUCAAGCAUUCCCCCUUGCUGGCUUAGAUUCUCUGCUAGAAUCCUUGCAAGUAACCUUGCUAGCUUUGACAUCGCUGCCGCAAAUUCUGUCAUCACUAACCUGCUCACAGAAUCAGGCAAAAGAUAAUAACGUUAAGCUUUACAGUUAUAGAAGGAAAAUUACAUAUAGUUGGCUGCGAUUAGGAUAGUUUUGUCUUAGUACCUUAGAGAAGUGAACUCUCCAUAGCAAGAUUGGUCUGAAAUUUUGGUGAGAGGAAUGUGAAAAGCUUCAGACCAAGAGAAUUGCUUUGGACAAGUAGCUGUAGGAGUCCCCCACCUGUAUGAGUUAUUCAAAAGUCCACAAGUAGCUUUCCUUUCGAAUGGUGUCUUAAACAAUAACUCUUGCUCUUUCCUCAUCUUCCUAAGUAGUUCAGGGCUUAUCCCAUGGUUCACCACUUGGAAGAAUCCCCAUUCGGAUGAUGCUCUGCACAUGGCUUCGGCGCUAGCUGCCCUUUCCCUUUCAUCAUGGCUGUUCAGGCCAAUGAGGUCUAUCAAUGGAAGUUGGCAUUCUUCCAUCAUGAUUCCACUUUGCUGAUGACAGUCAUGGCGCUUAGGUGUAGAAAUCUCAUCCGGGUGGCGCAGAAGUUUCUCAAAAUGAUGUACUAGAGGUGGGUUAGAAUCAACCGUCAUUUGUUCUAUAAGCUUAUAUCAGUUGGUGAUUGAUAUGAUAGAGUUGUCUUAGGAGAAUUGAGUGUGAUGUGCCUAUAUAUACAGUCUGAGAGAACGAAAGAAUGGGGAAAAAGGGAGAGAAUACAAAGAGCACAAGGAGAAAAGAACAAGAGGAUGGUAACCAAACGACGACAGUUGUCACAAGGGGAGCAUUUCCUUCUGAAUUGUCUAACGAGAGACUAAGUCUGCACACAUGGAUUAAAAUAUCGACACACAAAAAAGGCAGAGGCAAGCAAGUGGGGAAUUGAUAAAAAAGGAUGGAUCCAAAAUCUAAUUUAACUUUUUGACUUCUUUCACAGCUUGGAAAAACGUAGGCUUUUAGCGGGGACCUCUUUAACCGCUGCAAUAUGUCAAAGUGUGUUCCCAUUUAGCAAUAGUGCUUCUUUUGGACUUUUGGGACAUGAUCGUUUUAGCUUAUUUUGGUAGCAUUUAGUUGCUUUUUUUUUAUACUAAUUCUCCGGUUGUAAUGAUAAUUCUAGAACCAUAUUCUUGAACAAUAAAUUUACACGGCAUAUACGGCCUAAUUUAGCAAGCUCUAAAUUCUUUAAACUUCUCACCACAAACAGUAGCUUAGUGGGCGGUUGGUGCUCUCAAGAAAUUUGCAUUUCCCUACUCGGAUCUUGUAACAAUUUUUUCUCCAUAAAUGUAGGUGAAUGCAGAUAUAUUUCUUCAAAUGUAUCUCAUAACCAAUUUUUGCAAAGGAACUAUUUGUGUGAUUGGAUUAUUUAGAUCCAAAGCUUGAGAGAAUGGAUCUCGCCUCUAGUUAGCACAUAUUUGUAAAUUAUGAUUGAUAGUCCUCUAAAUUCUAUUAUUAAUCCAAAAAAAAAAUUUUCCUUUUUUUUUUUUUUUCUUUCCUUAAACUUCUCGAGUAAUAAUAGGAAACAUAAUCUUUUGACUUUCCGAGGGAAAUGAAAUAGGAAAGGGGUACGUGGUAGUUGGAUCCCUCUAAACCCUAAUUGAAAUUUGAUUUCUUAGACAAAAUCAUUAGAUUCCCAUUCAGGAAAGACACCUGAGUCCUAACAUCUUAAAACGUUCCAUUUUCCUGCAAUAAUUCAACCGUCAGCUCCGUUUUAAGUUAAUAAUGAUGGAAAGAUUCCUAUUCUUUUUCCCUUGUUUCUGUGGAAAAGAUUCCUUAUUUGGUACACACUCAUUACUACUGACCCCAUUAUUAGACUUGGAACGUGAUUUAAUAAUUCAAACCAACAAGCAUUCUUAUAUUAAUUAAACUAUAACACAAGCAAGUGUAUGCAAAUGUUAUUUAUUAUACCAGAUAAGAGUCCCAUGGCGAUACAAUAACACAAAACGUAUGAUUUGUGAAGUUAUUCACCAAUCACAGUGAACCAUGUAAAUUUGUUGAUGGACUUUUUGCAAACUCAAAGAAUUCUUUGCCAAGAAACUGAACAAGAAAACGAAAGGUCGAUCAAAGAGCAAGCAAGCAGUAGCAGCAGGAAGCAUGCAUGUGCAUUCUUGAAAGAAAAAACAUGCAUGUGAAGGAAGGGCCCAAAGUCAUAAAUAUAAUCAUGCAGAAUUGAAAGAACAUGGUGCCGCCCAGAAGAGUCUACAGCAUUUGAAAUUGAAAAAAGAACCAGAGUGUUAGUUAAUGUGAUGCCGCCCAAGGAUACUGCCAUAUUAAUGAACAUGUCAUUAUCAAUAUCUUAUAUGAAUCAUUGGUUUAGUUAAGGCGCAUGCAUAAGCAUAAGCGUAAGCACUCGUGGGGGAAAAAGAAGAAAGAUCAAAUGAUCACUUUCUGUAUUAAUUAAUAAACAUAUAAAGAACCAAUCACGCAGCAUACUGUUAUUGGCAUAGAAUAAGAUGCUCAAACUCAAUGCAUAAGCCCUUGAAGAUUCCCAUAAUUAAUUUAAUUGACAGUUGACCUAAGCCUGGAGACCCUUUAAUAAUUCAAUGUACAUUUCCAUUUGGAAGAACUUGUUUAGUGGCCUUUAGUUAUGGGCUAUGAAGAACCAUUUUUGUUGUUAGUGACGCUAACAAAAUCUUAUUCAUCUUUGAAGACAAAAAGGUGACUAGAAAGCAAAAGCGUAGGCUGCUUGUAUGUGAAAAUUGAGGUGCCCAUGUGUAGACAAAAUUAAAACAUUGUAUUUUGAAUGGGAAAGUCAGCCCCGGUUGGAAAUUGUUUUUUGUUGGGACUAAUCGAUUUUGUCACUUUCUUUUUGGAAGUUAAUAACUACUGAGAAUUUCUCUCUUUUGCUUUGAUUUUGAGGAGGACAGGACGUUCAAUCGGCAAACGAAGCACAAAUAAUUGGGAGAGCACUAAUUUUGAUGGAAAAUUGUGACCCAUCAUGUGCUGCACAUUCAACUUUUGACGUUUUUACUCGUGUGUUUCACAUUCAACUUUGACUUGGACUUAUUUAGGUUGCAAUUUUCUAACGUGAGUGGUGGACACUUACUGUAAAGUAUUCAAUAAACAUUGGUAAUUGGAAUUUUAUUCCAAGCUUAUAUAAUAAUAAAAAAAUGUUAUGUUAUUUUUAUUAAAAUUAUUGUUCAAAAAUCAUAAUUAUUCCUUACAGUCAACUUUUAUUUCAUACUUUUCAUAUAUAUUUUGUACGGUGAACUUUGGGUUCACACUUUUUUUUUUCUACGGCACCAAACAAGGCUUUGUUAGAUUCAACAGUUGCACUAAUUGUUUAGUAGUGAAACUCGUGCAUCAACAUGCAAGUUUGUGAACUGUGCUUUUGAAUGGUAAAGGCUAAUAUAUUCGACUUUUGGGAUUAAAGUUGGAUCUUGAAAGUAAGCAGCUUUAGAUCCUCUUUUAAGUAGGUCUUAUCCUAAUAGAUCCUAUAAAUCCUUUGAAACACCAUUUAAAUUAUAAUUAAUUGAUUUGUCUUUCAAAUUUGAAACUUCACAGUUUGCCUAACCAUGGCGUAGGUACCAAGCAAGAAGAUCAAUCAAGAAUCUACUGCUCAGAUAAGAUAAUAUAAAACAAAAAAUAGUCUAAAGCAAAUACUUGCCUUGUUCUAGUAACCACUAUAAAUUAAGGGGAUAAUAUUUCAUUACGCAUUACAUAAAUGAAUGAAAACAAUAAUCAGAAUUUGUUAUAUUUUGAACUCACCGAAGAACCAGCGUUAUUGUUUUGUUAUUUCUUUUCUUUCUGCAGUAAGAAACAAUGGGGGACCUUCACGGAGAAUGGGCGGGGAUGCCAAACAUAGACUUGAUACACAUUCAGGAGCGUCCGCUGGUUUCACUAGCUUUCAGCAAGCAAAAUAAAUAGCUCUUCGUCAGUAAUUGCUCCCAUCUCCAUUGCCCUUUCUAGCGAACUUAGACCUCCACCAUCCUUAAUUGAUGGACGUGCACCUCUGUACAGAAUACAAGUCAGAUUUAGAGUUAUAAAUAAAUAAAUAACAUGCAAAGAAAGAUUUAGAACGAAGAAUGCAGUUGGUUGAUUGAUUGAUUUGAUUACAGGAGAUGGGAAAAAUAGCAAGCUUUUACCUUCUAAGUAGGAACUUCGCGAAAGUGUAAUUCUUUGAGGAGAUGCAAUGGUGCAAGGGAGUCCUUCCAUGGAAGUCACGCAUAUUUAUAUCAGCACCAAAUUGUAUCAGAAGUUCAAGCAUCACAAGGUUGCCACACUGACAUGCAAGGUGCAAUAAUGAACCACCUUGAAGACAAUUCCCAGGAUCAUUGGAAUCCUUGAUUCUCUGACAACCAGCUGGACCAUUAUUUUCUUCCUUUUUCACUUUGUGAAAAUCAAUUUCUGAGUAUUGUGUAUUAUCAACAUGGUGAUACGAAUCAACACCAACCACAUCAUCAAAGGUGGUAUUGAUGAUAUUUGCAUCCGAUGUCACAAUAAGGCGGUAUACUUCUUGCAAAUUCUGGGUUUUAACUGCUUCCCAAAUGCUUGUGGUGCGAGACUUAGCAUCAGAUGUAUCUCUAAUGACUAGCAAUUUCUCCACAUACUGGGCCAGGACAACAAAAAAGCUUUGAAUUUCAGGUUACAACUAAUCCAGUGAAAUUAAUAUUUACCUUGUAGCAGGAUGACUAUUUGACAAGAAAAAGCAUUAAAAUUUCACUUUUGUGUUUAUUAUGAUCGGUGAUGUGGAUUCGCGGACCAAUUUUUGUAAUUCAUUUGGUUUGUUUCUCACUAAAAAGUCCUGGACAUACUAUGGCCAGAUAAUAAAACCAGUGAGCCAAGCAGUGGUUUUACAGAACAGCAGUUCAUUCCCUAUCUAUUGGUUGCACAUGGAUGUAGAAACAUAAAUUGAAUAUCUGAUAAUGUUGCAAAUUCUACUACUUAAAUCUACAAACUACAAGAAUCCUUUCUAAUAGCAAAUAGAAAGACUCGAAAAUCUAAUUAUCAAUGCAUUCAGAAGACUCAAUCAGAAGGAGAUAGCAUCCAACACAGAAUUGAUAGAAACAAUAUGACCACAGAAAAAAUAAUUGCUUAUGGAAAUCACUGAUUGCUUAAAGCUCACAUGCCUUCAAGAUUCCAGAAGAAAUUUCAGUACUAAUGUCAAGUGUAACAUAAAUUCCACAAAACUAAAAUGGAUGAAAAGAAAAAACCUGUGUACCUUCGCAUUAAUGUAUUGCUCCUUGUAAUGAAAAACAUCUUUGGAGCAAGGUUUCCUAACUGAUGGAAUGGUAGUAUUUGAUUUGUCCACUCUGCACAGGAUUACAAUCAAGUGGAAUUAUGAAGCAAAAGCAUCAUAAGAUUACAUAAAAUUUAACAUUCACAACUCUGUUUGCAAGUAAACAUGCUUAAGCCAAACUUAAUAACAGAAGUUCCAUAUUGUAUCCAACUAAAAAUAUUCUUACUCUCGAUCCUUGAGCAGAAGCAAUCCCUCCCAUAUGGAGUUGCAAUAUGCAUUACCCAAAGAACCAAAUAGAUCCAAGAUUGUAGGUUCCCAGACCUUGACGUCCAACGUAAGAGAUCUCACCUGCAAUGUAUACAAUUGAGGCUCCGACAAUGGAAUGGUUAUCAUGAUAUGAUAAAAAUAGAUGUGUAAAUGAGGAUCAACACAGAUUUUUUUCGAAGAAGACACCAUACUUUCUUCUUUUUCCUUUUUUUUCCAUUAAAAAACUAGAAAUUUUAAUAAAAUGAAGAGAAUUAGAAAGAAGUAAAAAGCAUAAUGAAAAAGAUUAAAACAAGUUAACAACAGGAGAAAGGAAAAAAGUAAAAAAGAAAAGCUAUGAUAAUCAUUGAACAACAGCUUACUCAAUUUUCUUGAAUAAAAAAUAAAAAAAAAAUUCUUAAAUUUAUUGGAAACAGAUGCCGAUAGAAUUGAUCUUAUAAGACUACAACUAGAAGGUUGCAACUAACCAAUCAAGUGAAAAUUAGAGCAAUAGUUUACAUCAUGGAAGGUGUCAGCACUGAAGCACCACACAUGACAAUCUUAGCUGUAUCUAGAAAAAUCUUCAGGUAGAAACUUUGUAUUAGCUACUAAACUAGUCAUCUGCAUGCGGAGCUUCUUGAUUCUGUUAACAAUUCAAACACUUGCAGAACUAAAUUCUCAUGAGCUUUAAGCGCUCCACUUUUUAAAUUUUUCACACCUUUGAUAUAUGAACGCCAAGAUUCCGGUGAACACCAGAGCAUUCAAUGCACAGCAAUAUGCCAAGAUUAAGUGACGCCCAAUCGGGAUCAGGAGCACUACACUCUGCACAAAGAUCAUUUCCAGGAAUUUGCCUAAGGAUUGCAGAAACACUAUCAGAUUUAUUGGCUUUCACUUCAUCCUCUAGACUGCAAUGACUACUAAGUGAUGGAACAUCACUAGUACUGAAGGGAUCAUUUCCGUCAAUAUGUUUUGCACUAGGACGUAACUGCAAAGAUGCAAAUAAUUCUUAUGAGCAAGAGUUUCAACUCUUGUAUUCGCAAUUUAAUGUUAUUCAAAAGAAAACAGAAAGCGAGAGAGAGAGAGAGAGAGAAGUAUUGGAGGGAUUCAACCUGUUGCAACAAGUCAGAAUUCAAAAGAGAUGCAAUAACACCAGUUAUCUUGCUGGUCCAGUCCAUCCUGUCUGCUUCUGUUUCAGCCUAAAAAAAUAGCAGCCUAAAAGUUGGCAUAAUGAUUCAUAAAAUGCCUCAGACAUUUUGCAAUUUUUUCAAGGGGAAAAAAAUGUUUAACAUAGAAAAUGGAAUAUAUUUCUUUAUCCAUAUGUAAAACCACCAAGUCCAAGUUUCUGAGGAACAAUGCUCAACUCUUGGUUGAAAGAGACCAUUAUUUUGCAAUAAAAUAAAAAAGAAUAUUGAAAUUACAGCCCAUCAUAUGUGAAGGUUCAGCUUUGUACCAACAUAUCACCAAGUUUUUAUACCAACAUAAACUUGAAGCAUCAGCCAGAAUUUUAAAUCAAAUCCACUAGAACAAUAGUCAAAGCCAUUCCAAAUGUUUCCAAAUUGUUAGGCCAAUUUCCUCACAUUUCUAAAGGUCUUCAAUUUUGGGCUUUCAGGAAUGGACAAGGUUAAAUGCUCAAUGUUUGGAGGUUACAUGCUUUACUACAGGAGUCUGUGCUGUUUGGCCUAGAGACAGAAUUAGAUUGUCCAAUCUCAAGUAGUUCAAAUUAGAGUUUUGCCAAGUUCUUUUAACCAUGGCGUAAGCAGACUCAACGAUACAGCAGCAUAAUUGAAUGUCCCAAACCCAGCCAAAUAAAUCACCUGCAAUGUGUAAGUUUUCACAGGAGAAAUUAUCCUGAAGCAGAGUCGUAGAUCUGUAUCCUCUCCAUCCAUUUUUAUUGCUGAAGUACGAAGAUCAACAGUACGGCAAUUCAGGCUGUCUUCAUUGAAUGAAGAUGACCUAUAGUGCCUUGAACGGAAUCUACUAAAUACGCCACCAUUGUGAUCAGCUGAACCAGCAUAAUGAUGGUGAGAACCCUAGAAAAGAAGAGAUAAGAAGAAAUUAGUUUAUCAUGAUUAUUCACUGAAAAUAUCAAUAUACAAACGAGGAGGGGAGAAGAAGAGAGAAAUGAAAUAGUCAGACAAAUACACAUCGGAACAAACAUUGGCAUAGAAUAAAAAUGUUGCAUUUAUCUCCAAACUAGAUAUCCAUGAUUAAUGUAUCUUCUUAUUAAGGGUAUGUCUUCAGUUCUACACAACCCUCAAAACAAGGUAACACAUAAAAUAUUCCAAUGCAGUACAAGAAAAGCUCCUUCCUACCAAUGUAUGCUAGAAGUCAGCUAGGAGAGACAUGCCAGGCCUUAAGGAAUAAUUGAAGCCAUGCCCAAUAAAAAUAGAAUCAACAUAGAUGAUCUCAGUCAAGGGAGGUUCUCUAGUGAGUUAUGUAUAGGAAGAAUGAAGAGUCAGCUGACGAUAUCUUCCUCCACUAUUCCAUAGCAUCUUGUUGAUGGACCAAGGUGUGUAAGGAAGCUGGAAUUUCUGGGUUGUUCCUAGUUCUUGCAGCUCCUUGAUAAUGAUAAUGUUUUUGCUUUUGGGAAGGAAAGAAAGCUCAGGUUCUGGCAACGUGCUGCUCUAGCUCUCUUUUGGGUUGUCUGACAAGAAAGGAAAUGCUGCAUUUUUUAAGAUAAGAGAGAAGAUGAAGUCUCUUGUUUGUGUAACAAAGUUUGUUUUUUCUCAUUCCUUUGGGCUUCUGUUGCAAAAGAGUUCAUAGGCACUUCUUUCUUCUUUAGCAAUCUUAGUAGGGAAGGGGUUUUGAGACAAAUCAAUAGAAAAGUUUUUUUAGCAUGGGUUAGGGUCAGUUUUUGAAUUUCAACACACAAGAAGUUUCUGAAUUUUCUGCAGUUUUUGUGUAGAUAUCCCCUAUCAGGUUUCUGUGGUGGACUUCUGGUCCAUUUUGUACUUUACACCAUUAAUAUACUUGCUUUUCUAUUUCAAAUAAGAAAAUGGUUAAAUUUAAUGAGAAUUGCUAUAUAGCCACAAACUCUUAGUAAAAAGUAAUGCGACAUAAUAGUACAGGUUGGAUGAAAACAUAAAAUAUAAUGAAACUAAAUCAUAUGGGUCAUAAGGCAUUUUCACCCAACCAAUACUGAUAUGCCACAUCAAUUUGAACCGAAUAGUUUGCAGAAAAGUUUGUGCCUCUAGCAUUACUUAACUUUAAUACUAUGUCUCUUUCUAACCUUGCAUAAUUGAUCUUUUCUUGUCAACAAUAAACAUAGCAAUUUUCUAAUUAACAUCUUUAAUUUAUUAAUUACAACAUAAUAAGUUAAAAGGAAUAGUGAAAGAAGCAAGGUAAGGCAAAUUUUUUCAUUUUUUUUAAAGAGAAAAACAAGGUAGGGGUGGGCAAAGCCCAAAUUGACUUUUUAGCCCCUACCUCCCACAAGAUUCGAACUCGGAUGGCCAACCAAAGAAAACUGCUUGAAAACCACUCGGUAAAGUCUCUAGGGGCAGCAAGGUAAGAUGCAUUGGGAAAGAUAAGUCACAAAAUAGUGGGACAAUAUAACAUACCAUAGAUUUUAUACCCUUAUUUCGGUAGUAAUACAAAGUCCCUUGACUAUUGAGUACAAAGAACCUCCUCUUCCAAUCUCCCCUCAAAUUUGAGGAACGCUUUAAGAGAUACCCUUGUUUGAUUGUCUGGACCUAUACGACAAAAAGAACUAUAAUAUUAUAUUUCCUAGAAGCACUCAGUAAUGCCAUAGAAAUGAUGCUAGUUCAAACUAGAUAUUCAUCUCAAAGAGAUUUACAUGGAGAAAGCAUGCAAAAGCCUGAGAAACGUUGCUAUCACAGCACAAAGAGAUAUGCAAACCUAAUAACUUACUUCCCCUGUGGCACUAGACCGCAUAACUGCUUCUAUGUUCUUGUAAGAGACCGUACCACCAACAUGAAUGCCAUCAGCACUUACUGAAUGCUCCACGUCAACUGGAACUCCCAAGUUGUCCAACUCUGCUUGGGUCCUAAAUUCCUGAAUCCGUUUUGCAAGUUUAUCUUGUUCAACAUUAGCCAAUUCUUUGGAUUGUUGUGCAUAAGUCAACACCUGUAACAGGAAAAGAAAGAAGCUCAUUCCAAAACUAGAACAAUAUCUUCCCAAGGAAAGAUAAGUUUAUGUUGAGAUCAAGCUGAUAAAAUAAUUUUGUAAAUUGAUUAAUACAAAUGCAUACGAAGACACAUCUGUGCAUGACUCCUAGUUUGUUCAAGGCAUCAGUUUCUCACUACACAGACUGAUUGUUGCAUCAUAUAACUCAAUCCCAAACUUCUAAAUCGUUUUGAAAUUAAAUGGAGUUUCCAAAAAUUAAACUAGCAUUAAAUCUUUAUCUUCAUUUUCCCACUUUGUGCAACAUCCAAUAAAAAAUGGUUAAUGAAAUUUUUUUCAAAUCACCAUAUGAGUUCCGUAAACCGAUUUCCAGUUCUAGAGUUUGUAUAUUCUAUACUAGUAUUUCUUGAAACCUCUAGUUGUUUCCAUUUGACCACUAAUUGAACUGAACUUCACUUUGUUUAUCUACAAAAAUCUUAACAUCUACAGACACCCAUGUUGUGCUUAAAGGUCAUACACUAAGCCCAGAUUGCAGUAUCCUGAAGACCAACAUAGAACCAGCCACAUCUUACGAACGCUACCCAAUGUAACAUUUAAUUCAAAAGUUUUGAAUUCAUCCAUUGACACAACUGUAGCAUCUUUAGUGUUAGAAAGUUAUAUGCAAACGAUUGCAAAGACAGUUGACAUGGUAAUGAUGGCCGAAAACCUUUAUAGAAACUUGAAAAUUUAGAACUGACAUUGAGCAAAGGAGCAAGUCUAUUUUAGAUUGAAAUUUGAGUUGGUUAGACAAUGCAAGCAUCCUAUUUAGCGGGGGAAGAUUAAAAGCAAAGGUUCCCACCCUAUCUGAAAUAAAUCUAGUGCUAAAUAGUUAAUACCCCGCAUACAGGGUGUGAACUAUUACAUAUGUAGGUUCCUAUUUAGAAUAAAAUUAUAAGUACACCAGCUCCAAAUCUUAUUGUGCACUCCAGAUAAUCUUAAGCGUAUAUCCCAUAUGCCAUCAGUAAAUGUGCCACACACAAUACAAAGCAUGUCAGACACCUCCAUUGCUGGAUGAUAAGAAAGGAGUCUGCAACAAUUAGUUUGAAAUUUUGAGGGAAAAAGAAAAGAACUAGGUAGUCAGAAAGGAAAGGAACCCUCAAGAUGGUUUUCUAGAUGAUGUCACUUAAUCUGAAUUAAUAUUAUAUCAUGCAAACAAUAAAUUCAGGGCUUGUUAAUGAUUUACUCCCAACAAUUCCACUGAGUAUCCCCAUCUACAAUAUAUUAAACUGAUUGAAAAUAAAGCGAGCCCUGGAUAGAAACUUUGUUUACUCCUCUCAAGAUAGUUUCUUUUCAAGAUGUUCUCUUAAUUGUAAAACCUUGGAGUUGUUUUCAGGGCUAGAGGAAAAUUUGUUCGCCUUUUGUAAAUCUUUCUUCUUUCAAUACAAUCUUCUUAGCUUUUAUUCAUAUAUAUAUAUAUAUAGAGUAAGGCACUGUUUUACCUGGUGGACAUAUGGCUCUAUUUUGCUCAACAAGUCAAAUCCCUACAACAUAAAGAAAUAAGUUCAUCUCUGCACACUGAAUAAACAGGCAAACACAUCAAGAUGUUAAUUUAAUAGAAAAUGAAAAAGAAGAGCAGACCAGCUUGAAAUAUCUCAAAUGCACAUCCAUAAUUGCACUUAUAGAUUCCAAGAACUCAUACUUCUUUUUCGCUUCGAUAUUUGUGAGUGCGCUAACCUGCAUUCCUUAAAGCCAAAGGGAGAAGGUCAUUAGAAGCAAAAGGAUUGAAGAGAGACUUACUUAGCAGAAAGCAAAGAAGAUUUGAAAAUGCAGUGCACAUACUAAAUUAAAACGGCUUUUCUCAAAUGCUGACUUUGAGUUCUGUAGAUCCUGUCACCACAAACAACAAACGAUAAUUCCUAGUUUCAGCAUCAAGGCUGUCUCAGAGUCGAGAUGGACGAAUAAGUCAAAACAGAAAAGAAUCCGCAAUUUCAUGCAUGAAGAAAUAUGGCUAAAAGGCUAAACCAUGAUAUACAUUGACAAUAUAAAAUAAAUAAAUAAAUAAAAUUAGAUGCUGUUACUAAAUUAUGAUGAACGGAGAAAAACGGAUCCAUCAUUUUUAGACAAAUAAAGCAUCCACCAAGGCAAUUUCAGAAAGUCAAGAUGUGGGAACUUGCUACAUAUGUUCACAAAUCUAAGUCAAAUGUUUAAUAUCUAUAAUAUUUUAUAUUUUCUCCAAUUAAGUAUUCUCAAAAUCUUUUGUUCUCCUUUUCUUUCUUCUGUCUUCUGAAAGACCUUUGGUUGAAUUUGUACUUUGAUUUUUGUUUCAACAGAGACAAAUUCUGAAAUCCUUGAAAGACCCAAAUCCAGUGAGUAGUUUCAUACUACUAAACCAUCCAUUCUGAUAUUAUUUCUAAACUAGAAGAUCAAUACAUUAGAUGUGACCAUUAUCUAAGUCAGUCUCUUAGAAAAUUGUCUUUCCCUUAAAGUGAAUAGAAUAUAUUCUAACUUGAUUUGCCGUCAAACUUAACUACUAGACCAACAACUAACAAUAUGGUUUCCUCACCAAAGCUUUUGUAUCUCCACUGGUUUAGAUGAUUAUUUCCUUGGCUAUGUACAUUUUCUUAAUCAGUCUCUUAGAAAAUUACCUACCCCUCCAGUCAAGAAAAUGUACACUCACUUGAUUUAUUUUUUGAAGAAAAGAAAUGAGGUUUAAUUUGCAAUAAAAAAGAAUAAGGGGGGUUGGUGGCGGUGGCGGGGGCGGCAUGGGAGACAUAUCUCUCCAACUGAGCAAAGCAUAAUAGAAGCAAAUGACUGCACAAUUAUAAAGAACGUACCUCUUCUAGUUCUGCAACAAUGUCAUCUCGUGUAUUCCUUUUCAAAGACACAAACUUUUCACGUGCCUGGAAAAGAAUAAUUUUUAACAGCAUGAAAAACUUCUCAAACAAUCACAAAAGGGAUAUGCUACAGUAAUAGGCUCCCAAAAUUAAGAACACAAAAUAGGUUGUUUAAUAUAACAAUAAUGGAUUCAACAUUUUAGUUUUCCAUCUCAAUUUAUUACCAAACUCUUGUGCAAGAAUACAUCUUUACUGGUCGAGUUGAUGCAGAACAAAGAUGAAGAUUACUUAGAUUUUUAGGGUUUUGUAAUUAUUAUCUACUUAAAACUCAGUAGUCUUCUUAGCUAAGGAGUUUAUAUUUGUCAUGUUCACAAGUAGAUUUACUGUUUUAUUUAGGGUUUGACCACUAUAAACAGCGCCUAGGUCUUCAUUGUCAUCAAACGUUGAUGAUUAUUGAAUGCAAUACAAUGAUUUCUACCGUAUAAUCUGUGUUGUUUCACCCUUUUUGUCUACUUCUCUCCUUUUUUCUAUUUUUCUAUCUUUUCUAACUGUGUUAUCCUUGUGGACAGCCCAUCCUAUAUCACUAGCAGUUGCAAUAAAAUGUGAGAUAAAAAUAUAGUCAAAAGUCAUCAUCAAUUGUGGAAAUGAAAAAUAAUUGGUCAUCCCACUAGAUUUUUUUCACAAUAUGGUAAUUGCAUAAAGUGAGCAUACACAAUGUAGACAAAAGAUAUCUUUUCCACUUUUAAUAUUCUGUUCUUCUUUUCCUUCACCACCACAACCACCUCAGCCCCCCCCCCCCCCCCAACAUUAGGAUAUAAAAUUGUACUGAGUGAAAAGAAAAAACUAAAAGUAAAAAGAAAUUAUUAAAUUUCCACUAAGACACCAAAGAUUUUUUUUUCUCUAACAAUCCAGUCAGGUUGGGGCUGUAGUCAGAAAAUCCAGAGCACUAAAUGAUUCUGGGCAAAUUCCAAAAACCUCUUCAUCCAGUAAUGAACAUGACUGGUCAUCAUAUUGGAUUUUGUUACCUGCCAUACUAAUAAAUAAAUAACUAAAUAAAAAAAUCAUCAGUUGCCAUGAAUGUCACACAGUUAGUUUUCACUUGUUGAUUGUUUAUAAAGCAAUCCUUACCGUCGUCGUUAAUGCAAUAAAUUUUCUACUACACCUCUAUUGAAUAUCUAUGCGAUCAUGUGCAUGAAGAUACAUGUAUAUGUAGUGAAAAAAAUCAAUGAAAUUUAAUUAUCCAACCACAAAAUGAAAAGGAUUAUAUUUUUACUAAAAAUAUUGCCCUAGAAAUACCUGAUCAUAAGCAUGUAUAGAUUUGUCAAAGCGCCGACGGGAUUCCUGCAAAAGGUCAGAAUAUAAGGGACAUAAAACAAGUCACAAGGUGCUGGAUGCUCCAGCUGAUAUUCUGUGCCUAAUUGUUACAUCCCUAAUUUCCAAUGUUGUAAUAGUUGGCCGAUAACUUUCUAUGACUGAUAGCAAUUGUUUACAUAAAAGGAGGAUUCUUUCAUAAAAUAGUUUGUAUCCUCUAUUAUAAAUUGUGUCUUCUACCAGAAAAUUUUACUUGAGAGAUAUAUUUUCUUUUCCUACACGUGGGGCUUCUCUUUUUUACCGUCCAUCGAGCAUUGUCAUUUGAUCAUAUUUUAUUAACUCUCAUUUACCUUAUGUAUCAGAAGGCAGGUUCUUCUUAAUGAAAAAUUAGAUACAUAUACUUAGGUCACGGAAUAGGCAUGUUACUUCCUAUUACAUUUUUAAGAUAGGAUUUUGAUUAUCAUGAAACUCAAAAGCUAUUUCUGAAUUUAAUUUAAGGCAGCAUAGCACAAUAUUUGAUUAAAAGGCAUCCAAAUGCCAGUAGCCAUAAUCAUUGACAUUGCAGGUAUAUCCCCAAGGGGUACAUCCCACAAUAGUUGAUUUGAUAUAAGAUCUACCUUUGCAUCAUGCAGAUCAACAGUCAAAAAUUCCGUCAGCCGAUUAAUUAACACAUGCUCAACCUGCAACAUACAUUUCUCAGAACUCAGUUACAACAUAAAAUAGACUAAAGAAUCAUGUAUAACAGCAACGGUAAAAGGCCUCUUUUGAGAUCGUAGUUAGGCAAUUGUUAUAUAAAUAAGCAUAUAUUAAAGUUUUUUUUUUUUUGUGUGUUCAGUGGCAUCCUCAUGAGUGAUGAUGUCAUACACGCGCGCAUAUAUAUGCACGUAUGUACGUUUGUAUGUAUGUAUACUUUCAAGAAUUAGCUUCACUUCUUUGAUGUUAAUGUAAAGGUCCAGGCAUGAUUUUUCAGCCCCUUUGCAUCUUCAUAAUGUCCUUCAUCCAAUUCUUAAUGAGGUGGAAAUGGAAAUGAAUUUAAGUAUAAUUGGACAGAUUAGAAUGCUUUGGAUCCCCACCCACCCAUCCUGGUGAUUUAGGGAUUGGAAGGCUUGCAUCUUUCAAUUAGGUUAAACGUAAAACAUGAUUGUUGUGGUUUGGGGUGGAAGUAAAAGAAAGCACAGAAAAUAAGCAAUGCAAACGACAAAAUUUUGAGUGCAACAUUAGCAGUGAAAGCCUGUUAACAAAGUUCCACAAGAACAAAACCUAGGCAGUUUGGAUGAGUCAGAGAUACAAAAAGCAUAAAAGAGUUGUAUGCCUCAUGCUCAUUGUCCAAUAUCAUUAAAGAAAAAAAUCUUUCAUUAGACACCAAUUUGAGCACUCACUUGGGACCGAAGAAGCUCUUUAUAUGUAGCAAGCUCACGAAAUGCAUUAAUGAACUUGGAGAUAACCGGACCUGAGACAGGGAACCACAUAAGAAGCCAACUAUAUUCAAACAUAACUAGUUACUUAGCUUUCCACAGUACUUGGAAACGGAACCCUCCAUACUAUUCUAGAUUAAACAAUCAACAAAAUGCAAUGCCAGUUCUCAUAACUAUACCUCCAAUUGAAACACUGACAGGAUCAUCAUGUCCACCGCCAAAAGCUUCUAAUGCAUCUGCGAAAGCACUGUCACCGCUACACGCUACUCCAAGAGCUUCCCUAUAAAAACAAACAAACAAACGAAAAAUUUUAAUAAAUUGGUAAGCAUUUCCCUAGCAAAAACACGGCGAGUGAGUGACAUACGUAAACUUCUUGCAGCCUUUAUACAGUCUUUGGCAACGAUCUUUUAACUCCUCAGCUGACUCUUCCAUAGAAAAUAACUGCCACAACAACGGGAAAAAAAGUUCAGAUUGAACAGAGAUCAAGACGAAAUUGAAGCGAAUCCAAUCUGACGUUACCUGCUUUUGAAACAUUGGGGAAUCCUCGAGCUUGAUAAACGCAGACAUUGUGAUUUCAGUUUUCAGAUCGAGGGAGAGGGAUGAAGCAGAGGGUAUUUUAGUAAUUUUUUAUACAAAAAAUGUUGCGGUGGAUCAGAUGUUGUUGGAGCGAAAGCUUGAGACAGGAAACGGAGAUAGAGACAGCAGCAAGCAUCAAAAUCAAAUAAUAAAGAGUGAGCUAAAGCUGAGCUCCCCUGCCGUUGGCCAAACGGACAGAAUGGUAAUUUUGACUUUCUGUAGGAGGACUGAUUGCCGUGGAUUCCACCACCUUCAGACGAUAUGAGCUCGUCAUCUAGACUACUACAAGCUGGAAGGGAUUGUCGCUGUUGCUGUCGUUCUGACUGCUAUUUUGAACAAAUGGUUUGAGAUAUAACCCUCAUUUUAUCUUAUUGACAAAUACUGGCCGGACUUUUUGAGAAUAAUAAAAAAUCCCCUCAUUGAAUGAACUUUUAGCUUUGGGGUGAUUCAUGGAUGUUUCUCAAAUCUAUGUUGCUUGGAGAAUAAAUAAAAGUACAAGACGAUCACAUGAUAAUUCUUAAUUAAUAAAGGAAGAAGCAAUCGGGAAUAUAUCAAUACACCACCCAACUUUUAUGGAAAGUUCAAUUUAACUACUAAGGGAUAAAACAUUUGAUCCACCCACGUUUUCCCGUCCUGUAUUAAUUUAUCAUUAAAAUAAUACGUUGAUGUCAACGAGGCAUUCGGGUAAUUUCAAAUAACGGUAAAUAGUAGAUAUUGUAGAUUCUCUUCCAAACUCAGGCCCAAGCUCAAGUUCUCUAAGGAGAUCCAGGUCCUCAAAAAAUCUGGCCAAGCAUUGGAUGGCUCAGGCUGAACCCAGCCGCCAUGGGCCCAGCAUGAGCCCAAGCCCUCUUCUUUUAAAUAAACAGAAUUAUUUGUUUUAAAAAAAAUAUAAACUGUUCCAUGAAUAGAAAAUUUCCCAAAAUUAAUUAAUUUCGUAUUUGUCUUUUUUACAUGAUUUUCAUUGAUUAUAUCACACUGAUAACAAAAAUAGGAUUUUAUGAGGAUAUUAAAGGGGUGCGACAAGCAUUAAUCUCCUUUAUUCUUAAUAGAAAACCUUCGCCCAAAUGACUACUUUACCCACCACAAGCACGCAACAUUGUGAAACUUGAAAGUAAAAAUACUAAAAUCGUUAACUUCUUAUAUGGUCCAGCCAUAACGAAUAGAUUCCAAGGUAGAUCAAAAUUGUUCACUUCAUAUUGGAGGUUUAUUUAUUAAUGGUGUUAUUUUUCUACCUAUUCAUGUCGUAUGUCAUUUUCUUAACUGGUUAAAUCGUGAAACCUUAUAGAAAGGAACUCAUGCUGUACAAUUUUUCUUAGCAUGAAAUGUAGAAAAGAAAUUGGUUUUUCAUUCAUUAUAUCUCGAGACAUUAGACCAAAAAAAAAAAAAAAACCCUAAAGAAUAUCCAUUUUUAUUAUUUGGAGUAACACGAUUUAAAGUCCUUAUCAUAAAAAGAAACAUAAUUUAGGGUAAUGACUUAGAGAUAUUUGAUUAAGUGUUUGUUUAUUAUAAUUUAUUUAAUAGUUACAUAACUUAUUUAAUCUCAUAAGUUCUUUUCAUUUUUUUGUUGUUGUUGUUUUUUUAGUAGAACUUUUGAAAAUUAAAUAAGUUAUUUUACCUCUAAUAGUAAAAACUCAAAUUUUGAGCUUUUGUGAGUAAGAGUUGAAAAGUUUUUUUUAAAUAUUAAAAUAUUUAAAAUAUCAUUUACUUGUUUCAUAAUCUUAUUUCAUUCAUUUCAUAGCAUAACUCUCAAUAACUUCCUUAUUAAAGUAAUUUAUAAUUUUUAAUAAAAACUUUCAUUGACAACUAAACAACAAAUUUUUUAUUUUUUAUUUUGUGAAAGCUCUACUAACAAAAAUUCUACUUAAAUAAGCUCUAUGUGAAAAUUUGUACCAAACGUAGCCGAACUAAAUGCAACCAACUUACCGAAGAGGGCUUAUUACCUUUUUAAACAAAAAAUUUAUUAAAGCAGAAGAAUAAACCUCUAAAGUUUGGGGAAAAAAAACAGGAAAAAGAGAAAUGCAAGAGCAAGGGAUAGUGGGACACAAACAAGCACGUAUUACCUUUAAAAAUAUAUAUAUUAAAAGAGAAGCAUACAAAUUAAGUAAUUAAGGUUCUAUUUGAUAUUAAAAUAGGUAGCUAUAAUUUAAAAAUUAUAGUAUUAAGGUAUUUGGUAAAUAUUAGUUAUUGUUGCUUAAAAGUUAAAUUGAUUUGAUCUACCACUUAUAUGAUAAAAAUUUAUAAUAUCUUUACUAUUUUUAUUAACAUCAUUAUUUUAAAGUUAUAUUUACUACAUGAUAUUAACUUAUAUUUUAUCGUUAUUUUUUUUUUCACAACGAUUGCAGAUUGCAGUACUUCAAUAUCAAAUAGAACCUAACUGAGGCAGCAACUAGACUAUGACGACUUUUUUUCUAUUAUUUUUUUUAAAAUUUAUGUACUAAGCUUUGUAUAAUGAUAUUUAAUUAACAACUAAAAUUAAAGCUUAAAGAGAUAGCACCAUACUACCAACAAUAGUAUUACAUUUCUACUAGUAAAUAUUUAUUUUUAUAAAAUUUAAUGAAAUAAAAAAAAUAAAUAGGAAAAAAAAAAAAAACAACUGCCAAGUUACCAAACACGCUAUCAGCUACUAAUACAAAAUUUAUAUGCCAACAAACAUGGCAUUAUCUCGUGAUAUGUUUAUUAAUUAUUCAGUUUUCUUAUUUCUUAUCUCUAAAUGGUGAAUUUAUAUUGAUACUAUAUCAAUUAAAAUACAAGUUUUGAAUCCAAUUUUCUAUAAAUGUAUUAGCUCACUCUAUGAUUAAAACAAAAACAAAAGAAAGUUAUAAAUCUUCGACCCUUUCUUGGAAGGACAAAAAUAAUGCAUUAGGGAUUGUUGUGAAUAAAUUAUCGAAUAAAAAACAGUAAAAUAGAAUUAAAAAUCUUAUAUAUUAUGCUUAAUCACGGGACUCAAUUGAUCAACCUUCACAUAUAUAAUGACAUAAACCGACAAAAUGCCACAGCAUAAAAUAAACAACAUUGUGAGAUCAUCCAUAUAUAAAAACAUAUCGCUAUAUUGUCCACAUCAAAUUUUUUUUUUUCCCUAUCUAUAUUGAUGUGAUGACACAAUAAUAUAAUUUGUCUUCAUUUCCAUUUUUGUUUGAACCCAUAAAUAUUUGAUGUGAUGGUGAUGACACAAAUAAUAAUAUUAUCCUGAGAAAGCAAAACGAAUCCGUGAAGAAAUAUCAUUGAGAGGGUACUGUUAGAUUGCAAAUUGACAAGCGAACGAAUUAAUAAUGAAUGAAUGAAACCAAAGUUUCUUGUGCUUGACUUGCCAGACCAUGUCGCCUGUAACUGACAAACUCUGCACUUUUUUUUAAUCUUUUUUGCAUUCUUUGUAUCAACAUGCAAUUUUUAUACGCAAAUGUUCCCUUUCAACUUGUUUGAUUCGGAGAAAUUGCAAUGAAAAAACCCAAUAACCCAUAAGGAAUAUAAUAAGAUGGACCUGUGAUACUAUUAAAUUCCACGUACAUACUAACAUACAUGGUAACCCCCGCAAAGCUUCCAAUGUCACAGUUGAUAAUUGAAUGAAUUCAACCCAAGUAUUUAGUAAUAUUAUAAUUUUUUUUAAAAAAAUCUAUUUAGAAUGAAAGAGUCUCACGUCACCUGGUUAGAAAAAAAAGUACCGAGUUAUAUACAUAAAAUUGCUUAAUAUAUAGUAAAAUCACAAGGGUUAAGACUAAAUCGGACAAUAUAAUAGGUGGUAUGAUGAUGCCAUGAAACUUAGAUUAAAAUUCUACUCCAAAGGAGGGGUCUAUUUCUAAAUUAGGAAAAAUUAUACUCCUACGAUAGAUACAAACGAACUAGGAGGCUACAAGCUGCUCACUUGAAGUUACAAGUUACAAAUUCAACUUCACCCAUGGCAUAUAAUUAACUAGUAACAGUAUGACCUAGCAGUGAAUAUAAUAAUGGUUUGUUGUACUUGUAUGUAUAUGUGUCAUAAAUUAUUUAUUUUGUGCGAUUGUUUCAUUGUUUGUCCUAUUUAUAAGCAUGUUCUUGUAGUUGGUUCUUGCCUCGUGCCAGCACAUCAUACGCCAUUGAGUGUUCGUUUCUCUAAAAGAAAGCGAGAGAAAAAAACAGAUUUCCUUGGUUUCAUUCUAUGCAAAUUAAGCAGCAAUGUCUCAGCUCUGUGAUAUCCAAAUCCAUGUCAAUGGUCACCAAACAUUCUUUCUCAAUGAGGUAAUCAAAAGGUUCCUGAAAGGAAAGAAAAGCCAUAGUUUGACCCACUUCACUAUUCAUUUACUUUUCUUUUUUUCUUUUUUGCAGCAAACUAUCACAAAAUAUUCGGAAAGGCUGAAGAAGAUCAUCAAACAAGAAAGCAGAAGAGUCAUUGAAAUCAAAGGAUUCCCUGGUGGCCCAACUGGGUUUGAGCUGGUUUCAAGAUUCUGUUACAACAAUGGAAGAAUCAAAAUCACAGUGUCUAAUGUGUCGCUCCUCCAUUGUUGCUCAAUCUUUCUUGGUAUGACUGAUACGGUAUCAUCACCAAACAAUCUCUUGCAGCAGACAGAGUCGUUUCUUGAAGGAAUGUUUUAUUGGUCAUGGAGUGACAUAAUUGCUAGUCUCAAGAGUUGUGAAUCAAUCUUUAAAUAUGCAUAUUCAUGUGGUCUUGUAGAUAAAUUUAUUUGUGCAUUGUUAGCAAAGAUUGCUCAGCAUUCAGAUUUAAGCCUCAUUAUUGCCUCACCAUCAACUCCUUCCUCUUCCUCGUCUCCUGAAACUUCAUAUGGGUGUAGAUUCUCCUGCACUUCAACCAAAACCACCCCAGAAUCAAUAAUCAAGCCAUCAUGUUCAUCAUCAUCAUCAUCACCAAGCAAAGCGUGGUGGUUUGAUGAUUUGACAAUUCUAUCGCCAGUCAUUAUAGAGAAAAUCAUCAAGGGGUUGGGGGCUUACGGGGCUGAAAAUAACAGCUUAAUCCUCACAAGAUUCCUUCUUCAUUAUCUAAAAGGCUGUGUUCAAGCUCAGAGCAAAGGCUGGGGCUAUGGUGGCAAUGGCAGCUACAGUGGUCUUGCUGACACAGCUGUUCAUGGGGUCAUUUUGAUUGGAAAAUUUUCAUUUUCUUGCAGGAAAUUGUUUUGGGUACUUAGAAUUGUGUCUAAUUUUGGUAUAAGCAAAGAUUGCAGAGCUGGUUUGGAGAAAAUGAUUGGUGGGAUGCUUGACGAAGCAACAUUAGAUGACUUGUUGGUAUCAGGCCAAGGCUACGGCAAUGGCCAUGAUAGAGGUGUUUAUGAUGUAAAUCUUGUUAUAAGAUUGAUUAGGAUAUUCGUUAAUAGUAAUAGUAGCAAUAAUGACUUGGUCGGUUCACAAAAAUUGAAAAAGUUUGGAAGAUUGAUUGACAAGUACUUGGGUGAAAUAUCACCUGAUCAGAAGCUUACGGUCCCAAAGUUUCUUGGAGUUGCAGAGAGCUUACCAGAUUCUGCUAGAGAGUGCUUUGAUGGUGUCUACAGAGCUGUUGAUAUAUAUCUUGAGGUGAAUAAAUUUAUCAUUAACUUUAUUAAUUUUCUUGCUUUUGCAAUUGCUCAUCCUUUUUAUCUAUAAAGAUCAAAUAAUUGGAGUUUUUGGAUAGCAGAGAAAAAAAAUUUGUAGAUAGGACAACAUUUAUAGACGCUUUUAUUGAAACUAGAAGUUAGACUUUCUCAUCUGCUUUUCAUCUUUUUUUUCCCCCUUUUUGUGAAGAAAUUAACAUGCUUUCCACAUAAUUUAACUUGUUUUCAUGGUCAUAAAAGAUUUGAUGAGCCAUUGUAUAAAUGACAUUAUUUAAUAUUUGUUAAAUAUGUAAAUUAAUUACACAAAAUCAUCUGGCAAUAUUCUUCAUCAGCUACAUUGUCUAUUAAAUUACUCGUAUGUUUUUAAUAUAUAUAUGAACAUUUUUAAAUAUGAAUUCUAGGUUGAAAUAUAUUACCUACCUCUAUUGCAGUUAGACAAUACGGUUACGAUCUGACCUUAAAUUUUGUAUUUUAAAACAUGUUAACGUGUGGACAGAAGAAUCACAAAAUCUUAUUCUACAUCUUUCUCAUAUAACAUAGUUUAUGGUUAUUGCAGUCUCAUCCAACUCUUUCCUUUAAGGAGCGAUCAGAAUUAUGCAGAUGCCUAAACUACAAGAAGCUCACACUUGAAGCAAGUAAAUAUCUUGCAAAGAAUCCAAAAAUCCCCCAAAUGUAGCCAUUCAAGCACUUAUGUCCCAGCAUUCCAAAUUACCAACAAAAGAUGAGUUUUCAUAUCAUCAAAGUGAUACCAAAAGAAAGAUCGAUCCAAGCACAAAGAAUUCUCAAGUUGUCUUAUACAACGGCGCCGGCGCCGGCGUCAUUGAUGAUGCAGAGAGAUUUUCAGGAGAGAAUGAAAAUGUGAGAUUGAAUCUACAGACGAUGCAACGGAGGGUCAGGGAGUUGGAGGAAGUUUGUAGGGAGAUGAAGGGUCACAUGCACAAAUUGGUUAGGCAUAAUAGAAAUUUGCCAAGAUUAUGUUAAUAUCAUUGAGACUCUUGCCCUCUCAUGGAAAAUAUACAAAUGUAUUUGUAAAAUGAUAAUGUAUUGUAUUAUGUUUGUGUAUUUUAAUUAAUGAUAAACAGAUGGAAUUUUUAUUAUAAUUUGGAAUAUUCUCAUGCAGAAGAAUAUAUGAGCCAAACGCAUUUAAAAAUUUGAUUGAUCUUAUGUAUUAAUGGACUUAUUUUGACUCAGGGAUUAUGAUCCUCUUCCUAUUUGAGUUCUCCUGAGUUUUUAAAAAUUCAGUGACAUGUAUAUUUAUUGAUAUAUAGUAUAUGAAUAUGAUUUAAGUCUUUUAUUUUUUUAUAUUUAUUAAGCACCAAUCCCGCAAUUAUAUUUUUACUUAACCGGAAAUUAGAUUAUGAGAAAAUGUUAAUCCUUUUAAAUUGAUGUGGCAGCGGUACAUGAGAUUAAUUACUAAAAUUUUAUAUGAUGUGGCAAUUAUAGAUAAAUUAUCAUAUAAAUAAGACUUAAAUAUUGAAAUCUCUAACAUUAUUGAGUUUUGAAAACGAAAAAUUUCACAUAAACUUUUACUUAGCAAUUAAUAUUUAUUAUCUCUUCAUAUAUUUAAAUUUACUACUUCCAUUCCGCAGCAACUAAAUCCAAACACACCCUAAAUUUGCUUCGGUUUUGUACGCUAGCUUGUUAAUGCAGGGCACGACCUCAUGCAACAUUUUAACCUAGAAACUUGUGCAAUUAAAAACUUACCAAAUCAAUUUGCUAUAUCAUAAUUUAUUCUUUGUAGUGAGUUAGUUGAUAUCCGGAAUUGGAUUAUUCAUAUUUUCACGUGUGAGUCAAAUUAGAAAAAAUAAAACAAAUAAAUAAUAAGGAAUCCACCUUUGCCGGUGCCCAAUCAAAGAUUUUGUUUUGGCAUUAAACACGCAAGAAUUAAUUUAUAGCAUACAGCAAUAAUUUAGAUUGGAAAUUUUGAUGCGUGUGGACAGAGGAUGGAGCCUUCUGAAAAAUGUUGUGGGAUAAAGCCAAGAAUUAUUAAGGGAAAGUCCUGAAAAGUACAAGCAAUAGCCAAUGGAUUCUAAAACAGGGGGCUUUCAACAAGUUGUGAGGACUUUGGGAAUUUAAUUUCAAUUAUUUUUCUAUCUUGACUAGUAAUAAUGCCAAGAGCCAGUUUUGAUCCCGUGAUUGCUGAUGUCGUGUAGUUUAAGUAUCAAAAUUUUGAGUAUUUAUCUAUAGUGCGAACGUAGAUUAUUUUAGAUCAACGAUUUAAAAUUUGAUUAUUAUGUUGUUUAGUUAUAUGGUACAAUGAAUUAGUUUUUCAAUCAAGGAUUCCUGACUUUAAUAAAGUUAGGAAUAAAUUAAAAAAUAAAAUAAACACAUUCUCCAAUACAUUGUAUUUUGUCUUGUAAUGUAUUUUUAUCUUGUAGUGUAUUGAAAUCUAAAUUUUUUUUGUCUUUUAAUUAAUCAAUGACUUUAAUAAAGUCAGAGAUCUCUGAUUAGAAAACCACUCCAAUACAAUGUAUUUCCAACAAUAAUAGUUGUCGGUAAACAAUAAUUUUUACACAUUUUCAAUUCUUUUUUUACCCUCCUCGCAAUAAGAAUCACAUAAUUUGGAGUAUACGUAAAAAAAUUCCAUCCUUAAUAGUUUGGUUAAAUAAUUUUUAAGUAGUUUUUUUUAAUUGACCACCUAAAUUCGAAUAUUGAGAAAGAAAAAAUUAAAAUUAAAAAAAAAUUGUACAAAAUCACCCCAAAUUACUAUCACCAUUCCAAGUUUCCUUGGUAAAAAGAGUUUAUUAUCCACAGCUUGAUUAUUUUCUGCUUGAAACACAAAAGUCUAUCAAAUUCAAAUCCCGUAAUUUUAAGACCGUAGUGUACAAUAACAAUAAAAGAAAAAAAAAAUAUAUUAUUGAGUGAUAAAUAAGACAAUUUCACUUACACAUGAUUUCCUAAACUCUCCACAAAUUGUUAUUAGCUAACUUAUUUCUUAAAAUAUCACAUUUAACGUUCAAUAAUUUUUUUAUUUUAUUUUAGCACUAAAAAUCAAAUGGAAUAUUAAAAAUUUAUCAAGCACCUACGCCGUCAAAAAUAAUUUUUAAAGAGGGUCAAAAGUGUUAUUCUCCCUAGUUGUAAAAUAAAAUUUCUCAAAAUAGACUCAGAAUUGUAACAUUUAAACAAAUCAAAAAAAUUAAAUGGGCAUCCACAGCACCAUUAUUCCAUACACCUUGUUAAAUUUAAGCUUGCCCUUUAGGAAGACAAGUAGAUAACAUUGAAGCUUUGUUCGAACCAACAAAAGAAACAAAAUUAUACAUGAUUGAUAACUAAGGCUUUUAUGAUAAACCUCAUGUUACAUUCAAACAUUUCUCUUUACAAGCUUCGGAUAGGAGGCCGGGGGCUCACAAAUAAUCUACCUGAUUUAUCUGACUAAAUAAAUAACAUUCAAAUACAAUAUAAGUUACAAGAAACCAUCAUCACGUUUCUCUAAGUGUGACGAGGUAAUAUCACUAAUUAUGUCCUAUGACGAUGUGAGGGCGGGUUUGAUAUCACUCUUACUAAAUUUAAAAACUCAAGAGCUACUGUUCUGAACUUGAUGUGAGGGACAACUGUCUUCAAUCGUCUGAGAGUUCAAAAUUUUUCGAAGAGAACGAUAUUGCAGGCGAACAUUCUCACCACUUCCAAUAAUAUUAAGCAAAUACCUACAACAGAAAAAGAAAACACUUACUCCUAUAGCCACAGCUCACAAUAAACUAAAACCUAUUCGAAUUGCACAUUCAGGUAAGCGGCCCUGACCCAAAUGAAGAAAUUUUUUGUCAUUACCAUAGAAUUGCCAUUAAAGUGAGCCAGAAGACACCGCAUCUUUAAUUGAAGAAUAAAUAACAGAGAAUGCUAGUAAAAGCAUUAGGUUUGCUCCACUUACCAGCCAUUGAGACAUUGGGAUGUGAUGACAGCUUCCUUCCCAACAAACUUCUCUGGUGUCCUCCUAUUUCCCUAUACAAUUCAGUAUGCUCUUACAAAUACGGAUAACCAACUAGAAGAGUUCGUAGAUUUUAGAGUCAAAGAAAGCAAACUACUCACCUUGAUCAGCACCUUCUCAUUAACAGAAAAUGGAUACUGUACCCCCCUAUUCAAUCCAUCAUCUGUUGUAGUAGCAUCUCCAUUUUCCUAGAUACAAAUAAGAAAAAUAUAAAUCACUUCAUACAUUCUGAACAAUGCGGCUUAUAAUAACUCCAUCUAACAUCCAGUCACAUCAAGUGUUAUUAUUGACUCGUUCGACUAUUACAAAGAUAAAACCAAGCAGAAGUCAACCAGUAUACCGCAAAAACAAUCAGGAAUAUUUUUCUCCGUAUUUCACCCUGUUUCCAAAAUUUUCUCAAUAUUUCACCUUAACAAGCUACAUCUGUCCAUCUCUUCACUUGUAUUACAAAUAACUAUUUGUUUAAUUUUUUUUUAAAAAACAACUAAUUGUUUAUAUACUAAAUAUGUUCAUGAGACCAUAUGCACAACCCAAAAUCUCUAAAAUAUCAAGUCAUAGAUAUCAAGGAUGUCAAAAUAUACCCUAUUGGAUCUUCUCAUUGGAUCCAUUUGGUCACCCAUUUCUUUCCGACGCUUACGUAGAGCUGCAUUAUGGAAUAGCCUUCGAUCAUCCUCUUGCUUGAUAGCUACAGCAGCAGCUCUAAGAGCUGUGGAAAGAAAUCAAAAGAAUUGGAUGUAUAAGUAAAUCAACCUAAAGGAAGCGGUAUCAAAAGCCAGUAAAAUUAAUUAAGCAAAUGAAAUGUACCAAGAUUAGGGACCAAAGACCCAGUCUCAAUUUCUGCGCUGCAGAUGGUACAUCUUGACUGUAAUGAAAACAAUAAUUGGGGUUAUAAGUCUUGUCUCAUCCCUUCUAGAGGGCAUAAUAAUAAAUCAUAGAAGAUGUCAAGAGUGCAGUCUUUCAUCAGAACACAUCAAAUUAAAAAAAUUAACAGCUUAAACCCACAAGCUUCCAUCUACCUACCAGAAACUGUAAAACAUUAGAAGAAUCCAAUCUCUACAUCUAUUAGUAAGUAUAGUAAGACCUAAUCUAAGACAAGCUUUCACCCUCACAAGACAAGUCAGCAUAUUCAAAUCUUUCACAUAAACAUAACUUUGCUGGUUCUGCCACCUAAAUCUCAAAUCAAACACAUUGUUGUUCCCAAAUCCAGGGAGAUUUGAUUUCAAGCCUUCAAGUUAGCCUAAAGGUGAUGGGAAGUAUAAAGAAAUAAGAUAAGUAGAAAUUCAGGUAAGGUUAGAAGUUAACAGCAUCAUCCUUAACAACAAUUGAAAACCUUUUCACAUACUUAUACUCCUAUAACAUCAAUGGUAUCUUGAACAAUUCCAAUCUCUAUUAGUCAACUGGCAAGUUCGGUUCUAAGACUGUUUGUGAAAAUAAGCAUUACACCAUUUGUCAGAACCACAUCAGAUACAGGAUAAAAGCAUUUUCAAUGGAACACAUAAGGCCACUUUAUUUGGCAUAUGCCAAAAGCCUAACACAACACUUUAUCCUAGGUCUCGAGCUGUCAUUUCACCUAUGCAGAAGGCAUCUUCUUAGCAAUCAAUUAAAUACAGUUUUAAUCAGUAAAAAUAGAUUGUCCUACUUACGGUAUCAAUAACUUUUCUCAGCAUGAGACCACCAAAAGAAUGUCCACACGAAACAACCAUUGCAUCAUCGAGGAAUGCACCACUAAAUGUCAACAAAUUCGAGAAAAGAGGUGCAAUUAGAACUCCAUAUAAAUCAAUAUAGUAUCAGCCUACUAUUCUCAAGAAAUGAAGUCAGACCCAUUUACAAGUCGAAAGAACAGAUUUGAUGCAUAUAUAUAUAUAUGUGUGUAUAUAAAGACAAAAAGGACAUAAGAAGUAAUAGCUAAUAAAUGGUGAGAAUGCACAAGAAAAAUGUAACAGAAAUUGAUCGUAAACAAUCACAAAUAGAAUAUUUAAAUAUAUUGAGCUUCCCAAUCUUUGUAUCAUCUUAAUAUAUAAGAGCAUCUCCAAAAGUCUCUUUAAAUUUUACUCUUCAAAUUUCAAUUUGUUUACUGAUGUGGCAAAUAAGUGUAUAGAAAAAUAUAAUCCCCUCCAAAAGACUCCUCAAAUAAGAAUAAGUUAAUAUUAUUUUAAUUAACUCUUUCCCACUAUCAAAUUGAAUUGUUGUUAUGUUUUUUAAAGGAAACAUAAAUAAUAAUUAUUGCAAUCUUAUCUUUUCAAUAAAUAAUAAUAAAAUAUUAAUAGAAGAGGGAGAAACUCACUCGGCAAUAUUGAAAGGUGAGAAACAAAUCUUAUUUGAAGAAUCCAAAUUAACGUGUCUUUUAGAGUGUUUAAUAUUGAUAUGACUCUUCAAAUAAGAAGUAGAAUUUUAUUUGAAGAGUCUUUUGGAGAUGCUCUAAUUAUGGGCUUGCUCCAGAUUCUAGGGAGUUGAAAUGAAGUGAGAAAAUGCAAUAUGAUGAUGAUCUUGAUUCGUGUUAUCAAGAAUCAUGCCCAUAUCCAUCACUUAGUUAAAGAAGAAGUAUUCUCUUUGGAAGCCAAGACACAAAUCUACGGUCUCAACAACAACGAAAACUAGGAACCAGGAAGAAUUAGCUUGUUCAGUUACUGGUUUAAGUUUAAUAGUUUAAAAAAGUAUUAGUAAUCAGACGUGGAUAGUUGAUGUUUUGCUGGAAUGGAAUGUGGCAAGUUCAUCAGGACUUGUUUGUCUAUGAUGAGGUAGUGAUCCACGAGUGGGAACAACAGUGACAUAUCAAAUGUUUAGUUGAUUUUAGCACAGGUAGUAAAACUUCCUAAUUUCAAUGAGUUUGAGAAGCACCAACACUGUCAGAAUGAUAGUUUUUCUCAAUAUAAAUAUCUUUAAUCUUCAAAUUACAGAGUUGACUUGAUAAUAUUUGAGAUGAUUAUUUUGGUUCUUAAUUGUGAGACACAUUCACUGUUCAGGUCAAAACUCUUUAUUCCUUCUUGUUUAUGCUUGAUACAUGCAUGGAUACAUACAAUGAUUAAAACUGUAACUGUGCUAGACUUAAAGCUUAAGAAUGAAAGGGGGAAAUAGCAGAGAGAACAGAAUAAACUCACGAUAAGGGAUCUGAGAGAACGCUUCUUAAUGACGGUUCCUUGUUCAAAUUGUUUUGUACUAACUGUGACCAAACAAAUAUAAUCCAAUCAAAUUCAGAUAGCAGUUAAAAUAUGUAUCAAAUGAAAGUUAGUUACUAAAAAUCAAAGUUAGAAAUAAAGUUUCAAAACAACAAUCUUUAAUGUGGAGAAUGAGGAUAACAAAUUAGCAAUUAAAGAUGUAGGCAAUAAGUAGCAAAGUUCAUAUGUGCUCAUUUAUCAAAAGAAAUGAAAUCAAUGUCUUGAAUGAAGUCGGUUUCUCCAAAUCACCAGAAAAUUUAACACCUCAAUGGAAGCGAGCGAUCAAAUAAUAUUUUCACAAAUAAGGUACUAGGGAUCUUCAAUUUUAUUUAACUUGCCAUUGUUUACUUGGUGGGAAAUGCUAAAAUAACUUACGUAAGUAUUAUCAGAACGAUUACACAAUCCAUCUUCCUCAGCAGAAAGGUCAUCCAUAAACUGGCUAACAGAUAUUGGUACAUAGCUCUGGGGAAUGACAUGACCAGCCGCUGCAAUUGGUGAACAGUCUAAUAUAGCGUUGCCCUGUGGCAUGAGCCUGAAUGCCAGUGACGUCCUGCAAUCGCAACACUCUAUGGGAUAAUUUAAUGUAAAGUGGAAGUUCAACCACAACAUCUAUCUUCAAGCCACAUCCAUCAAGAAAGCAAAUUUAGAAGAUAUUGAUUGUACCUCCCCCCACCAUUACUGCAUGACACAAAAUCAGGAGCAGCCCUAUACAAUGCAGCAGGACGAAGGCCAGCAGUAGCAUGGCUAAGUGCCUUGCCUGUAAUCAGUAAGAGAUCCCCAGGAGCUGACCCACCAUCUGCCAGGUACCAGCGACCAUUGGGGUCACAUACCUAUGGAAGAAAAAGCUUUCAGAUGUAAACAGUUGCACAAUCAGAAUAUCCAAAAUGCAUAACCGUGAUCAAGUAUUUGCAAAAAGGUUAAAUUCAGAUUUUUGAUAGAAAGAAUUUAUGAAACCAGUGAAGCACAUGAUAUUAGCUAUAAUGAUCUUGACACCGGAGAUAAUGACACUUAUUAACAUUAGAUUAUCUUCAAAUUCUAGAAACCUGCAGACCAGGACUGUCUGAGGAAAUCAAUGUUAAUAAUCCUUUCUCAACUUCACCAUUCAUAGCUGGCUUCCCUCCCCCAAUAGCCCCAAUAGCCCCUUUUCCAUUCUGCAAGGAUGCAGGAGAGUAAGUUGCAACAAGCACCGAUGAGGACACUUCAUUAGCAGGCAACGGUGUAUCAUCAAGUAAAUGAUUAAAAACACUGCAUUACAUGAAUUAUAAGUAGAAAUCAGAUAUAUUUGUUAGAGAAAAAGAAGGAAAAAAGAAAAGCUCAGGCAAAUGAGCAAUGUGAAUUCAAAAUGAAUAUCCUUCAUAACCAUACUCGCUUCGCAAACGAAGAUGUCUUGCUAUCGCAAACAACGCUGCACGAGCUGCCUUCCCCAUGCACCUAAAAAUAUCAGCCAUGCAAGGGGGAGAGGAGUCCCAAUCUUCCAAAGCCCUAUCACAACACAACCUCGUACAACAUUAAAUUUUGCCCAGAAAAGAAAAGAGACCAAAAUUAAGCUUAAGGCAAGUACAUGUUAAAUAACGAGAAAAUCCAAUAUGUUCCUAGGGAUACCCAGGGUAGAAACUUACUAGUACUACUUUUUCCACUCACACCAUCCCCUUCAAUAUUGGCUUCCUUAUACUUUCUACUCUUAUUAAUUGAUAUGUAGAACACAUAUUCAUGAAAAUGCAAUACAAACAACUUCAUGAUUAAUAAAUAUGCAUAUAUCUAUAGAAUUACCUUCCAGCUCGAUACAUAUAAACCCCGCGGCUUCCCUUACCAACAGUCUGAGAUUUAGUCCUAAAGUACAAGCGGGCAGCUUCAAGCCCGCAACGCAUAAUGGCAGCAUCCUCGCUUCCCAACUCAAUAACAGCUGCAUUAUGCCUCAUAAGCGACCCCGACAGCGCCUCCACAGCCUUCAGAUAGGGCCCAGCAGGGGCGCCAUCGUAGGGCGCCACGUCGGAUAAGCGCACCCUAGGCAGCAUCGUCGUCGCUACCGGAGGCUCAACCGAGAUAGGGACCACCACCGGGCCGAUGGCAUGGUCUGCAGCAGCGGCAAUUGGUAUCGCUUGACGGGGUGCAUGGGUGGCGGCGGCGGCGGCGGUGGUGGGGGAUCUAAGGCUGGAAUUGUUAGCUGUGGCGGCAGUGGCGGAGGCCGUGGAUUGUGACUGUGGCUGUGGCUGUGCAGAGGAGUUCUGCUGCUGCAUCAUCAUCAUCAUCAUAACCAUGAAUCAUUCUGCUAAGUCGUUUAUUUUAGGGUUUACGCUUCUUCAGAAUUAGGGUAUUGGAUAAUUCAUGGGGUUUAGGGUUUUUUUUUGUUUUGUUUUGUUUUGUUUUUUAAAAGAAGAGCGGGUUGAUUGGUUGUUUAUGGUUGGGGGUCAGCAGAAACUGAAAAUUAAUUUGUUGAAAUGUUUUUGUUGUUUCCGUUCGCCGAGAAAUGGGAGUGAAUGCGUCUGAGAGUGAGAUUGAGUGAGAGUGAGUCGUCUGUCGCGACUAUAGAAAUGAGACAAAGAUGGAGUUUCGCGUUUUUACUGUGUGAAAAAUAAUAAUUUUUUAAUAGCACUGCUUCAUAUUCCUAAAUUUUAAUAUUUUAUUUUUAAAUUUCAUAUUAAAAAAUGCGCAUUAAAAUAUAAUUUGGGAUAAAAUUUUGAACAUAUUUAUCAUUUAUUCUUUUUUCCUUCUUUUUUUCAACAUAAUGGUAUUCGAAGGGAAUUAUAUUAAAGAAGAUCUUAAUAUAAAAUUACUUUUAUAAUUACUUUUAUACUUAAUAUAAAAUUCUAUAUAUAUAUAUAAAAUAAAAUUUUAAAAUUAACCUUAUUAAUUAGAAUAUAAAGUCAUUACUUUUAAAGAAAUUAUUAUUAUUAUCAACUAUACUGAGAUAACUAAAUAAAAAUAAAAUUAAUAAUAUAAAAUAUUUAUUUUAGUUAUCAAUUAUUUUAUGUACACAACAAAAAAAUUAUUUUAUAUACAUUUUGAAUAAAUUUUAUUAAAUAUUAUAUCUAAUUUACUCAUUUACAUUAUAAUGGUAGUUCAAUUAUAAGAUUUAACAAAUACAUAUGCCUACUUUUAAAAUUCACAAUACUUUUAAAAACAAGUUUAAUCAAAUGUUUAAUUAAUUCUUUUUAGAGUUGAUUAUUUCUAUAACACAAUUAACAACAAUUAUUUUAAAAAUUACAGCAUUACCAAAUUGGCUUAAGAUUCUAAGUUUACAAUAUUAUCUUGUAUUUUUUUUAUAAGAGUUGACUAAUUAAACUAAGUUAAAAGAAAUUAAGUAUAUUAAUAGUAAUUUAUUAAUAUUACAUAUUUAAAAUUAUUUUAUAAUAGUUAGGAGUCAUUUGUUUUUUAUACUUAAUAAUAUAAUUGACUUAAUUUCCAUCAAUUAAGUCCUUAAGUCUGUUUAUUUUUUCAAAUUAGUGAAAAUUUUCAAUCAUUAAGUUAUUAAAUUAUUAAGUCAAUUUUUAACUUUUUACUUAAUUUAAAAUGUCUAAAUGACAUCAUUAUAAGAUAUUCUCUAAAAUAUGCACAUCUAAUUUAUUUAUUUUCAUCUUUACUUAAAUAAAAUUUACCAUGUAACAUGACUAUUCAUCUCUAUAACUUGUGAUAAUAUAAUAAUAUAUGAAUAUUAUUUUUAUCUUUUUUUAUUUUUCUUCAAUUUAGUAUUUUUUAUCUUUAUAAAUUUUUAUAAAUAUUUUUUUAUAUGAAAUAUCGUAAACUACAAUAAAAUUGAUUAAUAUGUUUAAUAAAGAAAAUAUUAAAGGAUUGUAUUAAUAUUCAAAAAUAUUAAAGGAUUGUAUUAAUAUUCAAAAACAUUAAAAUAACUUCAUCACAAAGAUGACAUGUCAAGAACAUUAAAAUAACUUGUGUGAUAUGUCAUUUAUAUAUUUAGCUCAUUGAUAUUUCUUGUUAUUACCUGAUCGAAUUAUUCAAAAACCUUAGCUUGCUUACGUUUUGUUAGUAAGUAUUAUUCAACUAUUUAAAUUUGUAUUUUACGUAUAAUAAUGAAUUAGUGACUAUUAUAUCAUGAAUUAAAUAUUUCAAUUAUUAAUAAUAAAUAAUAAUUUAAUAAUUAUUAUUAUUAUUUAUUGAUAAGAAUUAAUAAUUUCUUAUGUUAUCAAUUAAAUAGAGAGAAAAAUAAUUGAUACAGCUCAAACGUUUAAAAAAAUAAAUACAAAAUUUCUUAAUAUUUCGGAAAAAACAUUUAGACCCCAAUUUUUUAAUGGAUUUAGUUUGUUUAAGUAAUUAAAAGGUUAAUAUGGUAUAUUCCCUUACUAAUAACUAGUGUAUUCACCCAAAAACCCUCCUUAAGAAAUCACAAAUUUACAAAAAUAAAAUUCAAUCGGUUACUACCUAGAAACCCUCACCCCUUAUUAGAAAAAAAAAAAUUCACAAACCCUUAAUAGAAUUCCCUAACCUGCUAACAUGCCCCUGUUACUUGUGUCUAGCCGCUGCUCGUGUCUUGAGGCCGCUGCUCGUGUCCUGAAGCCGCUGCUCGUGCCCAGCUGUUGUUCGUGCCCAUAAACCACUGCUUGUGCCGCCUUUAAGCAACUACUCGUAUUGGACUUAGGAAAAAUCGAAGGUUAACUUAGAGAAUAAAUUAAGUUCGCUGUGUUUCAGAAUAAUUAUAGGCGCAUGCUUCAUAGAGAAAUUGCCUUGUGCUUGAAACCAUGGAUAGGAUUAUAUGUUGAAUUCGCACAAACAUGACUUUGUAGCAUUCGGAGUUGGGUUGCAGAAUUGACACAAUAUAUAUGAUUUUCCACGGUCUCCCAAUUCUAACCUGAGAGCACUUAUGAUAUGUACACCGCUGCAGAAUCUAUUGGACAACAUACUUUUCUUGUUUGUGCCUAUCUUGCUUUGCCGUUGGUAUUCAUGUUUAUAGGCUAUAGAAAUCUUAUUAAUGUAGGCUGGGUUGGUUAUUCCUGUAGGCUCGUUGAUAGUUGAAGUAAGUCAAGAUAACUUAAAUUUUGUGAACCAAUAUUGUGAAAAACAAACAGGUAUUGUCGAUUUGAAAAAUAAGAAAUUGAAGUAAAUUUCUAAAGUAAAAUUCCAACCCUUAUAUUCGAAAUUUAUUAACAAUUUAUGGACAAAAUAGAAAAGUCCAUAUUGUUGUGAUCGCCCGAGUGCCCAAUAAUUCAGGCUAAGAGCUCAAACAUAGGCCAAUAGUCUCCCUUGGCUCGAUUCUAGAAUUUUCUAGCAAACUCUAACACAACUCAAAUUUGUAUAUAUCUAGAAUUCUUUACACAUCUCUAACACUUAUAAAUAUCUAAAUAUUUAGGCAAGUUGAUAGAAUUUUCUAAAAUUCUAGAGCUUGGCAAGCCUCCUUAUAAAUAGGGCAUGCCAUUUGACAUUUGAGCAUCAAGUUAAAAGCAAGCAACUGAAGCACCUUUGUAAGUUCUCUUGUAAACACUUUGCAAGUAAUAUAAUUUUCCUCUUUUGGCUCAACUGCUCUCUAACUCUUUCGAAAGCCUCUAGGCUUAACUAGUCGAGAAGUUCAAAGACUUACUUAGCAACUUUCGGCAAGAGUUGUCUAAAUAUUGCACGGGUUCAUUGCGCAAAAAACUCAUCCCGUGACAAGUGGUAUCAGAGCAGAAGUUUUCACCUACGCAAGUUAGUUCAUGAGCAAAGGCCAACCCUCCAACCACAUCACAAGAGGGCAUUGUUGGUGUGGAUGUUCCACCGGAACCAACCCGUAGUCACGAGGAAGGACGCGCUCAUGGCAAGUCCAAAGCCCCAUCCAUUGAUGCUUUAGAGCUUCGCAUGACCACACUCGAAAUUGUAUUGUCCGCCGCUCAGGACAUACCCUUGGAGGAUUGGAAGAAAGGGUGGAUGGUCUCAAAGGGGAGUAUGCUGACUUCACUGUGGCAACCAAGGACCUCAUCCAAGACUAAGCCAACACCCUUCGAGGGGAAUUUCGAGCAUUCCACGAAGAGUUGCCGAAACUCCGCAUUUUCAAUCAAGAGGAACUGCGAGCUAUCCGUGCGAAAGUAGAGGAAGUUUGCUCAUACUGGGCAUGACACAAGCACACACUUUCUGCAAGCCUGGCAUCCACAAGUACGAGUGAUACGCGACACAUCGAUGUGCCAAAACCCGACAUCUAUGAUGACGCGCAAUGUCACUGUCGUGGACAACUUUCUCUUCGGGUUAGACCAAUACUUUGAUGCCAUAGGUGCGCGAGACGAAGCAUCGAAAUUGAGCACAACACUCACUUACCUUUGAGGCGCCGCACAACUAUGGUGGCGUCAGAAGUAUGGCGAGAUGGGUAAAGGCAUUUGCACCAUCGAUACUUCAGCAAAUUUCAAGCAAGAAUUUCGAAAGCAAUUUGCCCCAAGCAAUGUGGAAAAGGAAGCGAGAGCGCGCCUACGUCGACAAAAAAAAAACGGAUAGUGUUCGCGACUACAUCAACGAGUUAACUACCCUCAUGCUUGAGAUCAGCAACAUGUUCGACAAAGACUCCCUCUUUUAUUUCCAAGAUAGAACUCGAUAGGUGGGGUGUUCAAACAUUUGACGACACCAUCACCAUUGUGGAAUCGCUCACUGAGUACUACACCCAAUCCAAAGAUAAAAGGUCUAACCAAGGCAAAGGUGAGAGAGAAAGUCGCAAUGACAAGAGCAACAAUCGCAAGGAUUGGGGGCAGAAAAAGUCACUUAACAACAAAAGCGGGUAAGGCAAAUCGGAGAACAAGAAGGAGCCACUAAAGCCUUGAAACCCAUGCUUCAUAUGAAAUGGUCAUCACUGGGUACACGACUGUCAGGAGAAGAAGUCGCUUAAUACUAUUGCGGCCCAAUUCAAGAGCAACCCUCCAACAUCCGCGCAAGAACCCCAUGCUUAUCGAAUUCUGUCUUGGCCUAAUCCUUAAUGCCAUCUUGAAAAUAAAAAUAAAAAGUCUUUGUCAGACAUGUCGCUGAUCUCGAGCAUGAGGGUAGUGAACUCAUUGAUGUAGUCGCGGACACUAUCCGUUUGUUUGAGAUGAUGUAGGCGUGCUCUUACUUCAUUUUCUGCACUACUUGGGACAAAUUGCUUUUGGAGUUCUUACUUGAAGUAUGCUAAAUGCCUUUACCCAUCUUAUCAUACUUUUGACGCCACCAUAGUUGCGCGACACCUCGAAGAUAUGUGGGUGUUGUGCCCACUUUCGAUACUUCGUCUCACACACCCAUGUCAUCAAAGUAUUGGUCUAACCCGAAGAGAAAAUUGUCCACGACAGUGGCAUUGCGCAUGUCAUCAUAGAUGUCGACCUUUGGCAUAUCGAUGUGUCGUGCAUCACACAUACUUGUGAAUGCCGGACUUGCAGAGAGUGUGCGCUUGUGCCAUUCCCAGUCUGAGUGGACUUCCUCUACUUCAGCACGGACAGCUCGCAGUUCCUCUUGGACGAAACUGCGGAGUUUCAGCAACUCUUCGCAGAAUGCUCGAAACUCCCCUCAAAAGUCGUUGGCUUGAUCUUGGAUAAAGGCUUUGGUUGCCACAAUGAAGUCGGCAUACUCUCCCUUGAGACCAUCCACCAUUUCUUCCAAUUCUUCAAGGGUGUCCUGAACGAUGGACAAUGCGAUUUCGAGCAUGGCCAUGCAAGGUUCAAAGGCAUCAAUGGAUGGGGCCUUCGACUUGCCAUGAGCGCGUCCUUCCUUGAGACCGUAGGUUGGUUCUGGUGGAAUAUCCACACCAACAACGCUCUCUUGUGAUGUGCUAGGAAGGUUGAUCAUUUCUCACAAACUAACUUUCAUGGGUGAAAACCUUUGCUCUGAUACCACUUGUCACAGGAUAAGUAUUUUACGCAACGAACCUAUGCGGCACUUAGACAACUCUUGUCGAAAGUUGUUAAGUAGGUUUUUGAGUUUCUCAACUAGUUAAGCCCAGAGGUUUUCGAAAAAGCUAAAGAGAAGAGAACAAUUGAGCCGAAAAAAGAAAAUUGUAUUACUCGAAAAGUUAGAGCUAGAAAGCUUUUAAGAGUGCUUAAGUUGCUUACUCUCAGCUUGAUACUCAAAUGCCAAAUAUCAUAUCCUAUUUAUAAGGAGGUUUGUCAAGCUCUAAAGUUCUAAAGAAUUCUAACAACUUGCCUAAAUAUCUAGAUAUUUAUAAAUACUAGAGAAGUAUAAAGAAUUCUAUAUAUGUACAAGCUUGAGAUGUGCUAGAGUUGGCUAAAAAAUUUUAGAAUUGGGCCAAGCUAGCACUCUUGGCUUAUGUUUGGGCUCUUAGCCCGAAUUCUUAGGCACUUGGGCUAGAAACUUGGACGGUCUACAUCAUAAAGCACUCUCUUCACUGCAAAAUGCAGUUGAUCUAUAAUAAUAAUAAUCGAAUUUAUUAUAGAAGACAGUACCCCGACAAGCAUGCAUAGUCUAAUAAUAUGCUCCAUUUUUCACCGUACUCCUGAACAGUGCCAGUGUAUCAAUGACAUACCAACAGAAAUCUAUAUAUAAAAGAUUCUGCAACGACAUAAUUUAACUCAGCUUUAUUCAGUCAUUGAAUUCGAACCACAUCAUUCUCAAACAUAUGAUACAAACUUGCAAACUGCGCCGGAACAAAAUUUCUUACUGAACUCAUCACAAAUCACAGCAGCUAGUAAAAUAAAAAUCAAGCCAAGCCUGAACCUCCGUGUAUUGGCCUGUUUACAACCCUUGGCAGCCACCCAAAAAUGGAAAAAAGGAAAGAAAAAAACUGAACCUACUUUUAUUAUACAUGAAUGUAGUAACUUUUCACCUCAUUUCCAGUUGAGGAUAUGGCACAUACUUGUAGCUGACGAACCUUCAUAAUAUUAUAUAUCACCCACCAACAACAAAUAAAUAAAUCAAACAUCGGAGACCUAAGAGAAAUAAUAAUAAGACAACGAAUAUUGAGAGGAACCAAAAACUAUUAUUAACAUAAGAUAGCGGCGAAGCAGUGUUUCCAACACGGGAAAAAUAGAGGUGGCACCUGGAGCAAGACCAAAACCUGGAAAUUAGCAGGAAAAUAUUACAAAUUCAUGCAAAUAACUGAACAAGUCAAACAGCUAGGAGCAUGAAGAAAGAGCAGUAAUUUCAAAAGUUGUCAUAAGAAGUACUCCCUAAAAUCGGACUCUUCACAAAAUUCAACUUGAUAUAACAAAAUAUUUCACAUUCUGUAAUCAAUGUACUCAUCAAUCUAUACCACAGGAUAGUGGUUAAAAUUUUAAUAAGAAUAGAUAAGGGGACAAAGAUAACAUGCUUCAAGUUUGACAACUAAGAGUACUCUGCAGAUUCAUGCGUACCUGGUUAUUGAUCGCAUUCUGGUUUCAGCCUUCCCAAUCAAAUCAUGGUGAUCAAACCAGUCCUUUCAUAUACUAAUUCAAUUUAGAAAAACAUGUCAAAAACUUGGAAGAGAAGCUAUAUUCAUCGACCCUUCUCAAUUGGACAUCAACUUUUUGGGGCAAAUGCAGCUAGGGCAGUAGCAUGUGCAGGAGAGAGGUUACUCAACAACGGUUGCAUUUGCUGGCCAUAGAGAGAUAUUAGAUGCGAAAAAGCCAUGCCAACUUGAGACUUCACUUCAGAAGAUUCCUCUGGUGAAACAACUACUUCAGCAAAAAGGUUAACCAGCUCAGGUACAAGAGAAAGGAUCUGUUUACAUAUAAAAUGGUAAUCAAAACCACAUUAUAGAUAUAUGAUGGCAGGCAGAAAACUGUUGAUGCUUGUGCUCAAAAUAACUAUAAAGGAAUAAAAAUAAAAUAAACCUGGGGAUUUGAAGACAAAACCAGAGUGGAAAUACAAUUAUAAACAGCCAUUGAUUCUUCAAAGUCUUCUUUAAGAGGAAGAACUUUCAAAAGAACAGGAAGGACCUAACAGAAGCAGACAAGAGAAUAGGCGGAGAAUCACAGGAGACAUAAUCAGCUUGUAGAAGUGUCAAGAAACUAACAAGGAGACAAAAGGAAUUAUAAUUUACAAAUUCAAAAAUAUAAAAUUGAAAGAAACCUGAUUCAACGGGAUGGACUGCGGGUUGACCAUUAUCAUCCUUGCCACAGCACCAGCUGCAUUAUCCCUGACGGCAUCAUCAGGCUCAGAAUCCCCAAAUAAUGGGUAAAGACCCCGCAAAAUAUCACCAUAGUAUCUGUUUUUUAUAUAAGGGGGAAAAAAUGCUACGACACAACACUUAAUGACUUGAGAGAGGAUAAAAUUCAUAAUAGUUUGAACUUUUAAGAUGACUGACAUAAUAUUGCACUAAGUGGAACCUACAGUUGCAUUACAAAUAACAAAAUUCAUAACUACAAUAUAACAUGCAUGCUGAAGGAUACUUUAAAGCUGACUCUCCCCCAUUUUUGCACAACUCUCCAACACAAAAUGCUGCAUUCCUCCUAUUCAUUGCGUCAGGUGAUGCUAGUUCUUUGAGUACUAGGGGCAUCACCCUCUGAAACAUUACAAUACAACUUUCAGGAAUUGCUGCAUUCUUCACAAAAUCACCUCAAAAUAUAAAAAAGAAUAGGGAAUCAAAGUUUCAGAUAAAAUUACAUCAACAUAGGCAGCAAUAGGCGAACCCAUGUCCCGAGCAACUUCAGCCAAAGUUGCUACCACCAUGGUCCGGUCUUGCAGAGGGCGUGAAGAUUUCUACACUUGCCAAUACUAAAAAUAGUGAGGUAGUGAUAUGAGAAAUAAGGGAUUAGAAGGUUAUGAUGGGAGAACAUAUUACACAACUCAGGCACCAACCUACCGCAAAUUUCAUUAAAGGGUCAAAUAGCUUCGCAAAGAUAGGUGCAAAGUGAGGACCCAUGGACUUAGCAAAUGCAGGAAGAAGGUCAGAAACUGCAUCCAUUAUAACUUCAUCAUGUGCAGUGUCGUCGUCAUCUUCAAUAUCACUGUCAUUAUCUGGCUGCUGACAAGUUGACUCCUCUCGGAGCAGUAGCAGGGUUGCAUCAACCAGUCGAGACAUAUCUGAUGAGAUCAAGUCACAUUAUAAUUCAGGUUCACAUUAAGACAUUUAGCUGGCAUCUGAAAGCUUUUUUCAAAUGCAACUGCAUUCAAACUUACAAGGCUCAACAGCCAUGUAGCCAUAAUCAUUGAUGAUCUCAACAAUGCUAGUACAAGCUUGAGCAACGACAUCUUUGUCAUCAUCUUCAGUCAUAGUCCUGAUAAAAAUAUUCAUCACUGUAUCUGCAUGUCACGAAGAAUUUAAUUGCCAUCACGUUACUACCAUAAAAUUUGGUGAACUGAUAGAUACAAAGAGAUAAUAUUCAAGCUAUUUUGGAGAAGUAUCUUACCGAGAAUUUCUCUUGCCUUGGCUGGUCCUUCCUGCAGAGCAAGAAGAACAUCAUAUCAUGUUAGUCAACUUUUUUCAACUUCGGGUCCGUUUGGGAUUGAGGUUGGGCAGCUAUAGCUUAGAAACUACAGCACUGAAGUGUUUGGUAAACACUAACUGCUGUAACUUGGAAGCUAUAUUGAUAUGAUCUUUCACUUGUAUGGAAAAUCUAUUGUAUCUUUAAUAAUUUUAUCAAAAUUAUUAUUUAAAAUUUAUAUUUACUGCUUAUUAUUAACUUUUAUUUUAUAAUUAUAGCUUUUUUUCCACAGCAAACAAGACCUUAAUCAACUGAAACUAGCUUCAGAACUUAGGCAGCUCAUUCAAACAAGCUUCUUAUUAGCAUUGACAGAGGCACUAUCAACAUAUGACUAUCCGACUUUCCAUGGGGACCAAUUUUUUUUUUUGUUAAAUAAAAAAAUCCACCAAAGCCUAUAAACAGGACAACAGAAAAAAAUGGUAACACAAACUCACAUUAUGACUCUGGAAGAUUGCAUGUGCAGCUGUCAAAAUAUCUGCAGCAACAAAUCAAUCAACACAAUAUUAACAGUAUAUGGAAAACAUUUAUAUCAAAGUAUUUUCAAGUUUCUAGAGGCUUCUUUCGAAGUAUUCACUAACCAUGGAUGCAACACCCAAAGUUUGAGUUGAUCAGUUUGUUACAUCUGAAUAGGAUAAAUGUUAUUUUUUAUUUUUUAUUGAAUAAGCCGUCCACUAUAAGGAAAUCUUUGUCAAAUUCACUUUGCUUUGAUAUAUCAUCAUUAACAACUUAACUUCCAACAGUUAAAGAUUUUCCUACAGGAGGGAAUGAUUUAGCAACUUGACUCCCAACAGUUGAGAAACUUUUACCAGGGAAGAAUAAGCUAUAAGCAGGAAGCUAAGGCUUCUUUCUGUGUCAAGAAACAUAUUAUUUUUAGAAUACAAGGAUAAUAAUCUGCUUCUAAUUUUUUUAAUGCUAGUAAUAUAGCAACAAGAAUUUGUAAUAAUAAAAAGUGAUGAGAUGUCAUGAUCCUGACCCAGGAAAUAGAGUUGGCUAGGAGAUAAAUUUUAAAACUUGAAUUGGUACUCACUUUUCAAAGCAAAGACAGCCUGAUAUCUAACAUCUUCAUGAAAAUAGCUGGCGUGUCUCACCAAAAUUUUUAAUGACUCCUCCAAAAAGCUUAAAUAAAUUAAAGAACACAAGAAAAAAAUUUAUAUAGUAACAACCAAAUAAGUUAAAAAAAAUAAAGAACUCAGUAACACAAUUUAUUUGGUAAAAAAGGUGAGACAAGGAAGGAAGAGAAAAUAUAUAAAUGAAAUGGUAAAAGGAUACGGUGCAUAGGAACUCUUAGUAUGCAGUGCAAAUAAACCAAGAGCUUGUGUUGCAGCUGCCUUUUCAUCUAACACUCCAGUUCUUACACUGAUAUUUCGAACACUUCGCUCACAGUGAGCUUCAUCAUCGGAUGAAACUCCACCAAAUCCAUUAAUAUUCUCAUCAUCAGACCCAUCAAUGUCCACAGCAGAACCAUCAUCCAGAUUGCAGGAAGAAAAUGCCAGGGGUACAACCAGAGGUAGAUACUGCUCACCCAAAGAAAUUUUCACAUGAUCAUCAAUGCUAAUAAAAGAUUCAUAGAAGUUCAAUCAAAAGCAACGCCAUGUAUACCUGUGCAAAGCCGUCCUCUAGAACCCCUGCAAUGUUGCUAAAAAAUCCAUGGGUGUACUCCCUAAGCUCACUGAAUUCCAAUCCAAAACCCUGAGAAAUAAUGGAGACGAAUCAUUUAUACAGAAAGGUAUGUUCUGAUUCCAAGUCAAACAGCAUGUCAAUAUAGUUACAGAUAUAGCAGCUUCAACGAAAGGUGGCAAAAUUGGUUCCAUUCUUGCUCUCCCAACAGACUCUGCAACUAAUCCAAGAAGCUCAGUAGCCCUAGCUCGGGAACGGAGGUCCUCAUCAUUGGUAAGCACCAUGAAAAUCUUCAGUAACUCAAGAACCCUUUCAGCAUAUGGAAUGAAAGCUUGCUCUGCAGCAGCAGUUACUGAACCAAUGGCAGACUGUGACAACAUACAUUAAACCAAAAAUUUUUAAUAAAAGGGAAUAAGUUCAUUCAUUCAAUCUAUUUAUGUGAAGGCUGUGGGAACCAAAUGAUUCAUCUCCAUACCAUGCAUGUCUCCUGCAGAUUGCGGGGGCUAUUUUCAAGUGCUGCCAGUAGCUUCCCCAUCAAAGGAUCAAGAAAAGGAAGAAUUUCCUCACCCAUAUCCUCACAAAAAGCUGCCAAAGCAUAGUAAGACUUCUCCUGUGCAGAAAGAAACAGUUCAAUAACCAAUAAAAAGAUAUGUUAUAUCAUGACUAUUGCCUUUCCCAUAUGUACCUUCACUUCAUCAGAUUCAUCCUCAAGGGCAUUCAAAAUGCAAGGCAGAACGCUUUCAUAGUGAGAAACUAUUUCAGGCUGCAAAUAUUCAGCAAAUUGACCCAAUGCAAAUGAGGCAGCUCCUCUUACAAACUGCUCCGGAUCCCUCAGAGCUCCCAAGACAAUAUGAAGAACAGAUUCCAGCUUUUCCUUCAUCCACUCCACACAACCCUCUGAAAUGAUGCCUAUAGCUGUAACAGCAGCUUCCCUAUAUUUGGGACUAGCAUUUUGACAGCUUACAGAAGCAAACUCAAAAACAGGGGGAAAAACAUGCUUUGCAAGGUUCAAAGCCAUAGUGUCAAUAACUUCUGCAGCAGCUCGAUCUGGCGCCAGAUCAUCAUCUUCACCUGCCUCAUUUGAUUCAGCAAGCAAUGGGCACAUGACUUGCAGAAUUGGGAUAACCAGCUUGUGCUUUUUCAAGGAAUUGUAUUUGUACUUUGCCAACCAGGAAAUGAUUUGAAUAGCCUGAUAUAUUACACAAAGCACAAGAAGUAAGCCAAGUAGAAUGCUAAGACAUAUGUGAUGUGAAACUCAUCAACGCAGUGUAGCUCCAUCUCAACUGCCUAAGCUGUCCAGAGGAAGAAAGCACAAGAAAAGUACAUCGCUUGCUUAUUUCUAACCUGAUGACGUGUGUUGGGUUCCAAAUUAUGGCUUGAGGAAACUUCAAGAGAGAAAUGAACUAUGGAUUUGACAGAAUCCCCAAGAAGAGGUGCAGGGGAUUCAAUCAACUCAUCAAAAAUUUCAAAAGCAAUUACAGCAACAUCCUCUUCACCAGAAGCCAGGCAUUGUCUUGACACAUUUAAAAUACUAGGAAUAAAUUCCCGAAAUUUAACCUGCAAGGGCAAGAAAAAUGUAAUACCACAUAUAUCAAAGCAAGGAAACAUGAAAAGAAAAAAUGACUUGCAGUGGCAAUCUAGCCGACAUGAUACCGAGGAAUCAUAUAUCCAAGCAAACUAUACAUAAAAGUCAUCACUAAUGAAAAUCAUAGAGGUUCACUGUGACAUAUAAGUACCAAAUUUAGUUACACCGUAAAAUAAACCAAUGAAAAAUCCAACUUCAAACAUGAAUAACUGGUGCUACAUUUUUUGAAGAAUCAACCAAUACCUCUUAAGUUCAUUUCUCUCCAAGAAUGUGCGGACAACUUUCUACAUCUACCAAAAGGUGCAAAGAUUUUGUAAUGGUGAAUGACAAAUAAUCAAACCAGAAAAUCUAUUUAUAUAUACAUGCCUUGUACUAAAAUGAGUGGAAAAGCAAUAUACAACCAAUAACCAACAAAUGCAAAUUUGGUGCUUAAAUAUUUUUCAGACAAAACGAACAGAAAGCAGACACAAUAAGAAAUCAAAAGGCCGUUACUCAGAAAACAACAUGAGUAUAAGAUUUACUUUCGAAAUACAUAUCCCCUACUAAUCCUAAGCAAACAAAUAAAAGAUAAAAACUCACCACUUCAGCCCCAUCAUUUGUGAAUUCUAGAAAAGAGCCAAUUGCCCUGGCAAAACAGAUAAAGAGUGCGUUUAAGCAACAUACAAUAAUUCCAAGAGAAAAAUAAAAGCACCUAAAAUGUAGCAAAUGUUAAUGUAAGACUUUGAAAUUACUUGAGAGCAGCAAUUCUAACACGGUUGCUUGUCUCAUCCUGUAAGCAUUUGAGUAAAAGAGCUUGCAUAUCAGCAAAAUGUGGUCGAAAUGUUUGUCCAAUCGUUUCAGUUAAAGAGCUAAAAAGAAUCAGCGCCACCUAAUACCAUCAAGUAAAAAAUGUAAGUAAAGGAAUCGGCAAAUAUAUACAAGAACAAGCAUUUGGACAACUCAACCAAGAUUUAAACCCAAAAAUUACGUUGUAAUGGUAUUUUAUGAUAUCAAGAUAAAAUGACAAGGAUUUUUCUUCAUUACAGGGAAUCUGCCAUUAUAAUUUCUUGCUCUAAUUUAUGUAGCUAUGAAAAACUUAUGUGCAAAAUAAGUUCUUCCUUAUGUCCAUACUUAUGGUAAACAUUCACCUACAGUAAAAGUUGCCAAUCAAUUAAACCAAAAAACUCAUAUAAUUUCCAAACGUAAGCAUGCUGCAAUAUAUAAACCACCAAUUCAAAUUGCAUAUACAAUAGUGUUGGAAAAAAACUAUUGGAUAUGUAAACUAGUGCGACAGGAAAGCAGGGCACCAUUCAGAAAGAUUUCAACUGUCAAGGGCUUACCUCUCGAUGCUCUUCUUGCUCACUCUGACUAAAUUGGAAUAGAAAUGGCAACAAAUCAGGCCACUCUCCCGCUGGAACAGCGUAUUUUGCAAUAAUACUAACAACAUUUGCACUAGCACGACGUACAGGUGCACUGCAAAGAGUCAGAUAAUCCAUGAUCAAAAUAUAGCCAAUUUUUUUUUUACUAUAAAGCAAUUUUCUUUACCCUAACAUGCAAUGCUAAAAUUUAAAUUAUUUUCAACAUUUAAAAAAAAAAACCACCUGUGUUCGAGGGUGAUGCUUUCAAUGAGAGACUGCUUAACGAGCUGCUUGAGUUGAGGAGAUAGCUUGGCCCAAUGACCGGUGAUCUUCUUACGGAGGAGUACGGCGGCGAGCUGGCGAACGUUGGGAGUCUUGGCAGUGCGAAGGUGCUGAACAAGAGCAGGGACCACCUGAGGAUCCUUCGCCAGCCGCUUUAUCUGGUCCUCCGCUUGCCGUCGCGCGUCGUUGUCCGGCAUCAGGAAUUGAAUCAACAACAAUUCUAAGGAUUGCGCCAUUGCUUUUGCGAUUAGAUAAAAACCCUAAUACAUACACAACACAACAAGGCGCCAAGGCAAAAUACGACUGACAAAAAGGCAAAGGCUGGCUGCUGGUGCAGGGGUUUUGUGCCUUUGCUUUGUAUUUAAGGCUUGCAAAAGCCGUGGGGUUUUAAUAUUUAUACACUCCUGUCUUUGGGACGAAGGGAUUUGUGUAAUUUUACUUUACUAUACUGUUUCUCGACAAUGUUACAAUGUUACAAUGUUAUACCAAUAUGACAUGAGAUUUACUCCGAUACCCCUUCCACUGAAACCCUGUGUGUGAAUGUUUCAAUGAUCAUAGAGCGUUAAGGAAGUCUUGUGAGUAAUUUCUGGGAUUCAAUACCUGAUCAAUUGAAAACUAAUUUCUUACGAAAAAUUGAAAUUCAGAUGCUCGUGGAUCAGUUAAGUUUGCUAUUAAUUAUUCCGGGCACUGCAAUUAAUUUGGGAUAAGUCGGAGGAAAUCUUAAUCUUCUGUGAAAAUUGUGGAAAUGUAUUAAUAAAGUGGGUGAUAGAUUUCAAAAAUAUUUUGAAAUGUAUUCUUUUUUGCUAUUGUUUUUCGGGUCCAGCUAUGUUGCAACAGUGGUACGGUACCACUGUUGCUUUCAGCCAUUGGAUCUUGCUAAUGCAACUAUACAAUUAUAAAUCUAAUGGCUGAAAGUAACAGUGGUACCAUAUCACUGUUGCCCCUUGUUUUUCAUUAAGGAAUCAUAUUUACAUACAUUUUACAUUUGAUCCAUACUUCUUUAAUUUGAUUUUCGUGAAAUAGUGUGGGAAAAUCACGAGGGGACGAAAAGGACGUUGGGCUUCUUGAAAGGUCGUAUGUUCCUGGAUGCCCUCUAUAACUAAGAUUGGAAUUGGAAUGUUGCAACUUUUAAAUUAUAGUUACCGUAAAAAAAAAGUUAUAAUUAUGAAAUAAAGAUUAAUAAUAUAUAGUAAAUAUAAAUUUUAAAUAAUAAUUUUAAUAAAAUUAUUAAAAAUAUAAUAAAUUUGUAUCAUACGAGUGUAAAAUUAAAUCAACAUAACUUCUAAGUUACAACAGUUAAUGUUUACUAAAUACUUUAGUGCUGUGACUUUUAAGAUACAACUAUUCAAUUUUAAUCGCAAACACACUCUAAAUGUAUAUAUUCGGUAUUCCCUUAUAGUGUAACCAAAAAAAGUAAUUAUUAUUAAUAACAAUACUAAAUAGCAACUAAUAAUGGCGAUGACGACAACAACAAAAACAACGAUAAUAGAAUAUUAAAAAAAUAUUUUAAUUGACUUAAAGAUGCUUUGUCAUUUACAAAUUUUCAAACGAACAACCUGUCGUUCGACAACGCAUGAUGGCAACGAAUGUUCGUCCGUCGAUGUGCGUAAAUAGAGCACCGGUGCACAGUAUUUACGGCUCAUCGUUUAUAUGUUGAAUGCAAAUAACGUGUUGUUUUCCUCAUCGGAAACCGAACAAUGCUCGUCCCCUAUAUUUAUCCCCAGACGACCUGUCAUCCGGAUCGUUGAAUUCCAAAUGAUUUACAAAAAAAUAAUAGUAAUUCUAAUAACAAUUCUAAUUAAAACUAUAGCUGGUAAUUACAAUUGAAACUAUAAUUAUGAUUAUAGUAAUAUAACAAGAUAGCAAGCUUCGACCACAGAGAUACACCGCUAUGCCAUAAAAUGUAUACUUGAAAUCCAUAGACUUCAAUUUUUUUCUUUUUCCUUUUUUUUUUCCCUUACACAUUCCUUACUUACGAAAGACUGUGCCCCCAUUGGCAUGCUUACUUUGUCUAGGAACCAUAAUGAACAACUGCAAGUUACCAAAAUAACUUUAAUUAAUCAUAUUGUCCCUAGUAUUGUUAUUAUUUGUUAUAAUAGUAACAAUGAUAAUGAAAAAUAAUUAUUAUUAUUAUCAUAAGAAAAUAAUAAUAGCAAUAGUAUUGACGAUAACAACAACAACAACAACAAUGAUAAUAGAAUAUUGAAAACUUUCAAUAGGCCCGACGAUGAUCCGUCAUUUAGGGAUUUCCAGACAAAUGGCAUGUCGAUCCACUGCAAGAGAUAAAAACAUCCAAUCGUCCACCCUUGUAUUGCAACCGACGUGUAUAUAGUAAGCGCUAGCGCAUAUUAUUUAUGACUCGUUUUUUACAUAUUGAUGACAAACGACGUGUCGUUUUUUACGUUAGAAUUCAGAUGAGAUGACAUCUUACAUGUUUCACCCCCUGAUGACAUGUCAUCAGGAUCAUUGGAUUCCAAAUGAUUUUUACUGAGAGUGAGCAAUUUUUUGUUACUUUAGUAGAUACAUGAAAUAAUAAUCAUUACGAUUUUAUUUCUUUUAAAAAAAAGUGCACAAAUGCACUCAAAUAUCAGGGGUGAUCACGACAUUUGAGUUCUAAUCUUAAUCCUGACUAUCGUGGCUUAAUGAUUGAUUAGAUUAUUAAAUUUAUAAUUAUGAAAAUUUCUUAUUUAUCAUCCAAUAAGUAGGUUACACAAUUUUAAUAGUAAUUAUAAUAACAAUUCCAAUUUCAAAUGUAGCUAGUGAUUGCAAUUGAAACCAUAACUAUGAUUAUAGUAAAAUAAUAAGAUAGUAACCCUAGCCCAUAUAGAUACAUCGUUGUACCAUAAAAUUGUGGACUUGAAAUCCCACAUACUUUAUUGUUAUGCUUACUUUAUCCAAGAAUAAGACUAGACUACUACAAGUUGCCAAAAUAUUGCUAGUUAAUUAUAUUGCCCCUUGUAUUAUUGUAAUAUGUUAUAAUAGUAACAAUGAUAACGAAAAAAAAUAAUUAUUAUUAUGAUAAAAAAAUAAUAAUAGCAAUAAUACUGAUGACAACGGCAACAACAAUAAUAACGAUAACUGACUGUUAAAAAUAUUCUAAUCGCUCCGAAGAUGAUUUGUUGUUUAUGGAUUUCCAGAUGAACGACCUGUAGUUCGAUGGCGUGUGAUUAGGACCACCUUUGUAUUGUAGCCAACAUGCAUAAAUAGUAUGAGUUGGUGCAUAUUAUUUAUGACUCAUCAUUUACAUGUUGACGACAAAUGACACAUUGUCCUUAUUAUCAGGAUCCGGAUGAUGUGACAUCUUACAUGUUUCUCCCCAGAUGAUCCCUCAUCCUCUCUAAAAUUUACAAAUAAUUAUUACUAUAUGAAGGCGAGUUCCUUAAAAUGAUAUGUAGAAAGACUAUAAUUUAUUACUAUGUGGGAUCAAAAUUUUUUAUGACUUAAUGAAGAUAGUUACUUUAUAGAAUAUUACUAUAAAAAAUUUUUACUGUGCAAUAAAUAUAUAAUAGAAAAGUUAUGUGAGAUGCCUUGUUAGAUGACUAAUUAGGUAACCUCAAUUUAUAGCAGCGGGAGGAUUAAAUUUGAGGGAAAUAAUGUAAGUCACAAAACAUUAUCUUUUCAAAAUGGUUUCUAUAAUUAGAAUUACAAUAGAAACCAACAAAAGAAUUUUUUAGAAACAUUUAGUGUCGUUAAUUUUAGUGCAUAUUUAGUAAAGUAAGAUAUUGGGGAAUAAAUGAUGAAUUUUAUUAUUUUACUUCUUAUUUGUUAGGUACUAUAAACUAAGGGAAUAAAAUAAUUAUAUGUUUUUUAAAAUAUGUAAUAUAAAUUAUUGUACAAACUAAUGUAACAUAACAUAGUUGGUUAAAUGAAAUCUCCACAUGACCCACAUGAUUUAUCUUUAUUUUAUAUUUUCACUCAAUUAAUGAUAUAAUAUUAUAUCAGUUUGUGCAAAAAAUAAUUUAUAUAAGAGUUUGUAGCUCUAUUAAAGAAAUUUAAACAAUUUUCUUCAAACCACUGUGGUAACGUCAAUUUCUUAAACCUUAAUUAAAUUAAGGUUUAAUAAAAUAUACUUGCAAAGCAAAUGCCCAAAAUAGUAGCUUCCGUCCAAAGGAACAUAUCUUUAGGCGAUAUAGGGCCAUGAGCCUCCUAAACAUUGGGUCUAGUGGAUUGCAUUUCGUGGCGACAGCACACAUGAUGUUAAUUGGAACAUAAAUUUAUGUAUUGAAAUUGUGCAAACUGUAUUGUUUACUCGUUUGAAUAUUAUAAAUAAGGCACAAUAAAUACGCAAAAAAAUAAUUUAAUAUACUCCCAUAUUUAGGUUAUAGCUUGAAUGAGUCAUUGGUCGUUACCUUGAACAUAGCUAUAUACAAAUUCCACCUCCCCGAAACCAUUAAACUAUUUCAAUUAAUACAAUUGAAUGAUGAGGCAUUACUUUGAAUAAAAGAACCCCUACGACAUGUGCCUAAAUUUAAUUACAUUAUUUAAUAUCUACUUCUAACUCUUAUAUCUGAAAGAUAUAAGCCCUUAAUUUGUAGAGGCAUGUGGAUCGAUAAAAGUAGUCCAAGUUUGGCAUAUACGAUGUAUUCGUUUCCCUCAUCAGAAAAAUAAAAGAAAGCAUGGGAAUUUUCUAAAGAAUUUACUCUUUCACAAACACAUUCUACUUUCUUCACUGAAAACUCAUUCGAUUCAACUUUAUAUAUAAUUAAAGUAUGCACACAGAGGAAACAUAGAGAAACAGGGUGACGAUACCAAGAAGCAAUGGUCUCCAUUGCCUUCCUACCACUGCCAUCUACAAUAAUUAUUUUAUUAUUUUUCGGUAUUACAAAUUGGAAAAUUUUGGUUUAAAGGAGCAAUCUAUUUGUAAAUCCAUUCAUUUGCACGGCCUCCAGACUCAUCCAUGUCUAUAAAGAUGCUUACUGCCUGCAUCGUACAAUAAUUACAACUGUUAUUAUACACUCAAAUAAUCAUAUAAUUAAGCAAAAUUUUGGAUUUUUGUUCGGCCAAGGACAUCAAUGACGCAAGGAAUACACAAAUUAUAAUGUAGUAUUUCUUAAUUAAUAUGAUGUCUAAUAUUUUUAGUAUGUUUUUGUACCUCUUGUUGAAAUGCUUAAAGGUAAACUUUUCAGAACAUCUGAAUUGUCAAUGAAGCUCUUAAGGUCAUAAUAACCAAUGAAAAUAGUUAAUUAUCAUCAUAUCAUAAAUUAAAUUACCUUUCCAAUACGAGGUCGCUCUUUCAACUUUGCAAGACUAUUUCGAAUAUGUGAGACAGCUCCCCAACAUUUCAAUGUGUUUGCUACGUCAUCAAGCCUCAAAAUGUACUCUUCUUCGGUUAGUGGAAAGGAUCUCUAAACAAAGAAACAAGUAUUAGGACAUGAUUAGACUUCAAAACAAAACAGUUUAAAGAGUAUGAUAUAACCAUCUUUCAAAUGUUUUUAAGUAUUAUCACAAAAGUUUUCUUAAAAAAACAUCUUAUUAUCAUGUAAGUGUAAGAGUAUACUAAUUGUGCUUACGAAGUUUAGAGUAAUUAAUCAAACAUUAUAUAACUUGGUUUCUCUUAUUAGCACGAUACAUGCUUAGCUUGGACUCCAUUUUUCUUUUUCCUGUAGUCAUGCAGCUUUCCUACUUCUAAUUCGUGUUCCUCAAUACUUUUCUUCUUAGAGCUAAAAGCUCAAGCUAUGGUUCACAGUUGCCCUGCACAUUAUCAUUCACCAUGCGAAUAAACUAUUUCCUUCACAAUUCUACAAACUGCUACAUUAAACAAAAAUGUCCAAUCUCAAUUCCCAAAUCCCUUUUUGUACACAUAUGUUAGUACAAUCCUUAAAUUUUUAAUGUUAUCCUACUUUGAGUACUAUGACAUGACUUAAAAAUCAGAGAAUGAGAUAUUUCUAAAACUUACUUAUUACAUAUGCAAUAUUUUAAUCAGUGCAGUUUCAGCUGGAGGGAAAAGAAAAAAUAAAAUAAAAGAAGCCCAUAGAAUGAAAAUCUGUUUACCUGCUCCAUGUACUUCCACAUGACAUUUAGAGCAAGGAGAUUUCUUCCCAUAAACUCCUACAAGAAGCAUUCAGAAGUUAAAUGUGAGUAAAAACAAAAGAAAAAUAUCUGAAACAGUUUAAUAUAUAUUGAGCAAGAAAAUCAAAUUAAAAGAUAAAAGGGCAAAUAGCAUGAAUGCUAAAGGAAUGUAAAAGUGACUUCUAGCCUGCCAGCAGGGACAGCAACAUGAACAGGUUUAAAUAUUUUCUUAGCAUCCUUUAGAUCUUGUUUUAGAUUGAAAUGCUGUAACUUUUAAGCUACAGUUGUUGUGUAAAAAAAACUAUAACUAUGAAACAAAAGUUAAUAAUGUGUAGUAAAUAUAAAUUUUUAAUAAUAAUUUUGAUAAAAUUAUUAAAGAUAUAAUAGAUUUUUCAUCAUAAAAGUAAAAAAUUAUAUCAGCAUAGUUUCUAAUUUACAGCAGCUAAUGUUUACCAAACACUUUAGUGCUGUAACUUAAAAGGUACAAUUGCUCAACCUCAAUCCCAAACGCACCCUUAAUAUGGCUAAAAGGCAGCGUCAUUCACUCAUUCUUUGUUUUGAUAUUCAGAGUUUGAUUCUCUUUCUUUCUUUUCCUUUUACAAAAUGAGCAUUCAAACAAGAAAAAACAGUAGAAGUACCGCUAGAAUUUGUAGCAAACAAGUAAAAAUUAUUGUGAUCGUCAACUCUGCAACUUUAUCCCAAUCAUCUUAACCUCUGGUAGAUAGGUAUGUGCCUAAAAUAGGAUUGGCAGAGGGAAAGAACACAUUUUUAUUUUUUCAAGAGCCCAACCGACAUAUUAUCUCCUGAUCAAACUGACAAGUCGACAGAUAAACUUAAUGUUUCUUAGCACAGGGACAUAUCAUUCACUCAUAGCGGGUUUAUUAAAGCACACAAAAUUAGGAUGCUAAAUAGAGCACACAACACAACUGUUCUUUGAGCAUAAGCAUCAAGCCUAAGGACAAGUACACAAGGAUUGUAGAAAUCUAAGUUUAGACAUAGCUUUAAAUUUUAAGUUAGAAUGUAAUUAAGAAUGUUUAAAUAGCAAGUGGCUCACAAAUCUAAAAUUGGACCUCAAAAACCUCUUAUCGGUCAACUCAGAUUGGUAUCUCGAAUUUUUAGGCAAAUCAUUCUUAUUUAGUUUUAGAUCGUUGCACCUUUUCCUAACAAUGUUUUCUUUCUUAUUAAACAAAACUCCUAGAAAACCAUGGUCAACUGUUGACCGGAAACUUGACAGAUUACAUGGAUCAGUCUUAGGUAGGUUUCUGUGUAAAGUUGUAAACCUUUGUGUCCCUUGAUGCAUCUUUUGAUAUCUUCCAUAGUUCCAUUACUGAUUGGAUUUUAAGUGGAGUUCCAUUACUGAUUGGAUUUUAAGUGUAGAGUCUGAAAUUUAUUCAUCUCUCCUAGGUAUGAUCACAUCACCCCAUUAGAUCUUUUUCUCAUUGACUUGACUAAAUAAACUUAGAAUAAACUAGUAUUUGAAGACAAUGGACUCACCUAUAAUUGUACAUGAGCAAGGAUGAACUACAAAAUCUCCGUCGAAUGUCCACAAAACUUAUAGAAGAUAGUAAGCAGAAAUUCUAUUGUACAUGGCAUGCACACAUAAGCAGUUUUUGCUAAGUUAAUAUUGCAACCAUCAUCGCCAAGGGAGCAAGCAAGCAUACUUUUUUGAUUAGUUGAACAUCAUAAGACCUUCCAUACUUUUUCCUGAUAAGAGUAGCAAGAUCCAAACCACUAAAGGUGGAAUCAUCUACCCCAACAAUUCUCUCAAGAUUCUCUCUAAGCAAUUCACUAUUCACCUGCAAAAACAGUGCGUCCCCCUUUCAUAAUUAUAUAAAUAGGAUUGAACAAGAACAUGAAUAUGUGCUGUGUACUCAACCAUGCAUGCCAUGUAAAAUUCUUACUCCAUUUUCGUCUUUGGGAGAUUCUUUCUUGUUGCUUGCGUCAUCUCGUGAGCCAUCAUCAGGGUCAUUGCCAUCAUCCACUGCACUACAAAAUAUUGGCCCACAUCCACUGAAGUGUUUAUCAUGGGAAGAAAAUAGUCCUUUGUAAGGAAAAUUUGAACCAAAAUAUCUUGAAUAAGGAAUGAUCUUAUUGAAUCUUGCUCUGUGUAGAUGAUGCUCUUCAACCCCAACUGACCAAUUAAACUGGUGGCCUGGUAUAAUGCUUGUCAUUAUAUUCUUUAAUAUUUGCUUAAAGGCUGAUUCUCAAAAACUGUAACCAGUGAACCGAAAAUUAUGUAAAGAAAUGGAUAGAGUUUUUAGUUGGGUGGCUUAGGCAAUUAACAAAUAUUUGUUUUAUUAUCUGUUUUUCUUUUAGAUUUAAAUAAAAAAAAAUGGGCCAUAAAAUUGUGGACCACUUAUUAGAUAAGAGAUAUACUGAAUGGACCAAAACGCAUCGUUUUGGGUUGAGUUUUGGAGAAUAAAAGUAUAGGGUAAUUUUUGAAAACCUCCCCUGAGGUUUGCCCUUGUUACACUUGGAGAGAAUGUAUGCAUAUAUUGACAUAUAGCACCUGUGACCGUGUAUCAGUGUUAGACUGCCAUUUGCUCUAUUACCGAAAGUACAAUAAUACCCUUCACUGCACAGUUCAAUAACUGACAAUACUUGCAGCAACGUGGAGUUGCAGACUUGACGAUGCUUCUUACAUUGCAGAAGAUAACAAAACAGAAGCUUUUAACUUAAUUAAAAGGCCUAGUGAAUCAAGAUUUUGCCAUGAUUUUGUGAGGAUCUUAGGGUUUGAUUGAAAGAACUGUGCAACACCAUUUGCAACACACACGCAAUGUUCACAGCACACCCUCUCUCGCUCUCCCUCACAGCUCAUGCCACUAAUCUCACCAAGCCACCAAUCUCCCAUUCUUCCUCACCACGCUCCGUCGACAGCUCUCACUCUCUUUCCCCUCCAAAUCCAACAGUUGUGGGUCACGGGUCACACUCUCUUUCUCCCCUCGGAUCUCCAAAUCUAGCACAAAACGCACGGUUCACUCUCUCUCCCCCCUUCAAUUCCAGCCGCCGUGGGUCACUCUCUCCCCCCUCUAAUUCCAGCAGCCGUAGGUCACUCUCUCUCCCCUCCAAAUCUAGUAGCCGUGGCCCGUGGGUCAAUUUGUGGAGGUAAUUUGCCCCCGAGGUUCCACUUGAAGGAGCAAAGAAUCUCAUUUUUGUUGAAAGAAUAAAAAAGGGAGUAAAUUUAGGAGAAAGAGAAGAACCUGGAAAACACUCGGCCACAGUCAGAAGAAUGGCCUCUAGUACCACAAUUUUUUAGAUGUGCUAUAUAAUUAGAUUGAACAACAUAUAAAAACCACCUCUCAUCUGGAUUUAUGCGUGUGUGCGUAUCAAACAAAAAACGGAAAAACAAAAAUUAAAACUUGCAAUUCGCCUUAAAAGAAUUGAACCCAUAUACAAAAGAAAAUUGAAAAAGAAAGCUACAUGGGGUGCCUGCUGGUUUUCUUUCUCUUUUGUUAUGAAUAACUAGUGCACCAUUUUCUAAAGAGGUGAAAGAAUCAUAAGAAGAAGAAGCAUUAAUAUUGAUGCUAUUUUUUAACAUGGGGUUAGAAUUUUUGUUGACUAGCAAAGCAAUACGACAAACUGGUGGUGAUGCAGGAAUAGUGGCCUUUGUUUUUCAGCUUUACUGAUAAAAGAACGAAAUGGGUGGAGAGGAAGGGGGGAAAAGAGAAAGAAAAGAAGAAAUUUUUUUUUUCCUUUUCUGCCUCCAAAUUCUUUUGAGAGAGAGAAAAAAUAAGAACGAAGACAUGGAGAGGAAGCAAAAGCUAUUGCGUUCUUUCUGCAGUCAGCCUCUUUAUUUUUGCAAUUACGUUAUUGCCCUUAACAACCAAACGGCACUCUAACGCUCAUACACGGUCAGGGGUGCUAUAUGUCAAUAUAUGCAUACAUUCUCUCUAAGUGUAGCAAGGGAAAACCUCAAGGGAGGUUUCCAAAAAUUACCCUAAAAGUAUAAAACGUUAAAACACAAAUUCUUUUACCGUGGUAAAGAAAAAAAAAAAAAAAAACACAUCAAAACAAGUACAAGCGGGCAGUUUGUGAUUUAGUCCCAAGUAGAAGCGGGGGCAGCCUCAAGCCCGCAGCUCAUAAUGGCUGCGUCCUCGCUUCCCAACUCAAUAACCGCAGCAUUAUGCCUCAUAAGCGAACCCGAAAGCGCACCCCCAGCCUUCAGCUAGGGCCCAGCAGGGUCGUCGCUACCGCAGGCUCAACCGAGAUAGGGACCACCACCGGGCCGAUGGCUUGGUCGGCAGCAGCGGCGAUUGGUAUCGCUUGGCGGGGUGCAUGGGUGGUGGUGUGGGGAUCUAAGGCUGGAAUUGUUGGCUGUGGCGGCAGCGGCGGAGGCCGUCGACUGUGACUGUGGCUGUGCAGAGGAGUUCUGCUGCUGCAUCACCAUCACCAUCACCAUCAUGACCGUGAAUCAUUCUGAUAAGUCAUUUAUUUUUCGGUUUGCGCUUCUUCAGAAUUAGAGUUUUGGAUAAUUCAUGGGGUUUAAGGAUUUUUUAUUUUGUUAUUGAAAAGAAGAGUGGUUUGAUUUGUUGUUUAUGGAUGGGGGUAAGCAGAAAUUGAAAAUUAAUUUGUUGAAAUGUUUUUGUUCGCUGAGAAAUGGGUGGUGAAUGUAUCUGAGAGUGAAAGUAUGGAGUCGUCUGUCGCGACUAUAAUUUUAACAUAUUUAUCAUUUAUUCUUUUUUUCCAACAAAAUGCUAUUCGAAAG
This 63265-nucleotide long non-coding RNA is filed under the name Citrus maxima (pomelo). RNAcentral's name for it is "long non-coding RNA (CMAX_LNC003136)". The record is from RNAcentral. Lineage: Eukaryota; Viridiplantae; Streptophyta; Magnoliopsida; Sapindales; Rutaceae.